This 59768-nucleotide long non-coding RNA is filed under the name Populus tremula. Its description in RNAcentral is "long non-coding RNA (PTRE_LNC002574)". Lineage: Eukaryota; Viridiplantae; Streptophyta; Magnoliopsida; Malpighiales; Salicaceae. The record is from RNAcentral.
AGGAUUGUCUUGAUGGUGCGUGUCUUGGUUAGCUUAGCAAUAGCAGCCUCUCCAGAUCUGAACUUCACCUUCUCUGGCUUCCGAUCCACUAAUCUAAACCUUGACGGCAUAGCUGAGUUAACCUCCAAUGGCCUUUUGAGGCUAACCAAUGAAACCUACAACCGAAUGGGUCACGCCUUCUAUCCAAACCCAGUAACCUUCAAGAACUCUAUAAAUAGCACUGUUUUCACCUUCUCCACUACCUUUGUUUUCGCUAUCAUACCUGAAUAUGCAACUUUUGGUGGCCAUGGUAUUGCCUUUGUCAUUUCACCCACAAGAGGUCUCCCAGGAGCUCUUCCAAACCAGAACCUUGGUCUAUUUAAUAACACCAACAAUGGGGAAAAGACCAACCAUGUUGUUGCUGUGGAGCUUGACACGAUAUACAGCACCGGGCUAAAUGAUAUCAAUGAUAACCAUGUUGGGAUUGAUAUUAAUGGUUUAGAGUCUGAACGAUCUGCUUCAGCUGGAUAUUAUUCUCAACUUAAUGGUAAGCUCACAAACUUGACACUAAUUAGUGGCCAUCCAAUGCAAGUUUGGAUGGAAUAUGAUGGCAUGGAGAAGCAAAUGAAUGUCACUAUAGCUCCGAUUGAUGUUGAUAAACCCAUGAGACCACUUUUGACUCUGUCUCGUGAUUUGUCGCCAAUCUUAAACAGUAGUAUGUAUAUCGGAUUCUCAUCAUCCACCGGUUCUGUUUUCUCGUCCCAGUAUGUGUUGGGUUGGAGCUUCAAGAUGAAUGGCCUAGCUGAAGCACUAGAUAUCUCUCGCCUUCCUAAGCUUCCUCGCUUAGGACCAAAGAAGACAUCCAAAUUCUUAACCAUUGGACUGCCUGUGCUUUGUUUAAGUCUGGUUUUAGUAGCAGUCUCGAGUAUAUCUUAUGCCAUCCGAAGGACAAUGAAGUUUGCAGAAGUGCUAGAAGAUUGGGAGCUUGACUAUGGGCCUCACCGAUUUAAAUUCAAAGAUCUUUAUACUGCCACCAAAGGAUUUAGAGACGAGGAGCUGUUGGGUAGUGGUGGAUUUGGUAGAGUCUACAAAGGUGUCUUGCCAACCUCUAAGAUUCAGAUUGCAGUGAAAAGGGUGUCUCAUGAAUCAAGACAGGGGAUGAGGGAAUUUGUGGCGGAAAUUGUCAGCAUUGGUCGCCUUCGUCACCGGAAUUUAGUCCCUCUCUUGGGGUACUGCCGGCGUAAAGGAGAGCUACUUUUGGUAUAUGACUACAUGCCUAAUGGAAGUCUAGACAAAUACCUCUAUGACCAACCAGCAGUCGCCCUCAAUUGGAGCCAAAGAUUUAGAGUCAUCAAAGGCGUAGCUUCAGGGCUAUUAUAUCUACAUGAAGAAUGGGAGCAAGUUGUGAUUCAUAGAGAUGUCAAGGCUAGUAAUGUCUUGCUAGAUGGUGAAUUGAAUGGAAGAUUAGGGGAUUUUGGCCUUGCAAGAUUGUAUGACCAUGGAACAGAUCCUCAAACGACCCACGUUGUCGGAACUCUUGGGUAUCUCGCACCUGAGCAUGCACGAACUGGGAAGGCCACGACAAGCACUGAUGUGUUCGCUUUUGGGGCCUUCCUGCUUGAGGUUGCUUCUGGUAGAAGGCCAAUACAGCCAACUGAGGAUAUAAUCUUGGUUGAUUGGGUGUUUGGUCGAUGGCUUGGAGGUGAAAUUCUGGAGGCAAGGGAUCCCAAUUUGGGUACAGAAUAUAUUGCAGAGGAAAUGGAAUUGGUAUUGAAACUUGGUUUGAUGUGCUCUCAUUCUGAGCCUGCAGCAAGGCCAAGCAUGCGCCAAGUAGUGCAGUUCUUAGAGGGGAAUGUUCCUCUGCCUGACAUUUCACUACUUCGUCUUUCUUCAAGUGGCCUAACAUUUUCACAUCGUGAAGGUUUUGAUGACUUUGCCAAUUCUUAUCCUUGUUUUAUGGACAAGGCAUGUGCACAUUUGUCCUCGGUUACAGAGUCCCUCCUUUCAGGUGGCCGUUAAUUCUUGCGUUUCUUCAAGGAACUUAUCAAGAACUCAUGUAAGAUUUAUUUGGUGAAUCAGAGGAGAACAUAUACAUUACCUUAUGCAAUAUAUACAUAACCUUAUGAGUGUGUUUUUUCUAUAUAAAAAAACAAUAUGUAGUAAACUGCCUUUAGGAGAUGUACAUGAAAGAUCACCUGCAAAACAAUGAUGCAAAUUAAAUAAAAUGCAUAACACGAUGUCUCUCCCUUUUGUUUAUGUUGAUGUAUCACAUAAGAAAGCAAACAUGGUAACAAAGCAUGAAGCAGGAGGUAAUGUUUAAAAGACAUGCAUAGUUAUAGUUGGAAGUAGUACAGCAAGUUAUCUGAAUUAAUCUGCCAACUAUCAAGACUCUGUCUGUUAAAGAACCGAUUCAAGUUGGUUCUUGGCCAUUGGCGACUAGUAUUUUAUUAUAUAAGCAACUUAAAAGAGCUAUAAUAGAGAGUUUUGAUCAAAGUAUUUAUAUGAUGAAAUAUUUAGUAAUAAAAUUUCAAAUCAAAGUCUGUGGUGUGACCAAUUGGACAUAAUUUUAGGUUGCUUGUUCUUCUAUCUUUCUUGAUCUUGUGUUGCUUCCAUUUGCUCUUAAUGUGAAACUGGGCUUGGUGCCAUUCAAUUGAAUUUCAGGUUCUCUUGAAAUUCCUACUUGGAAGUGGGAAUGCAUUGUAUACAUACAGAAACUUCAGAGAUGAAAAAUCUUAGGUAAAUUGACCAAUCAGACAACCUAUAGUGAAUACAUUGUAUCAUUUUCUUUCCGUUGAUCCAAGCAAGUUCAGUUCAAGAGACCCUUAGAUUUAAGAAACAAGACUUCCUUCUUAUAAUCAUUGAACAAUUAUGCCGACAUUUUUGGACCCCAUAAAUUUUAUGACUUGUGUGCUUUGCCCUAUUCAAGACAACCUAUAGUGAAUGAUAUGAAAAGAGAAGAAAAUGAUAUCACACGACAUUCACAGGGAAAUUCACGUACUUACUACAAACACAUGGUAAACCACAUAGCCAAUCCAAGAUAGACUUGUAGACUCGAUACAUUCUUAACUAACACAAAAGCAAGAUUAACCAAUUCUAGGAGCUCUCUCGAUUUUUCCGAAUGAGUCAACGUGUAAUCGUACUCUAUUCUGUCGAAAAUCCAUGGUCACAAAGCAAUCAGGUUGAACGACUUGAAUUUGAGCGCCUGGCUUCUCCUCCUUUAUCUUCCUUUCAGCUUCUUCCGCUGUUAAGCCAACUAGCUCAGGCCAUGUUGUUUUUGCAGCAGGAUUUGACCCCAGCCCGUACAUUCCUAAAACUUGUCAAAACCAAAGCAUUCAUAAAUGGAAAACUUAGAUGUCAUAAUCGUGAGCAAGGAAAAAAAAAAAAAAGUUAAAACAUGCCAUAGUUGUUAGCAAACUAAAAAUAUCACUGCUAGGAAACUAAUGUUUGAGAUUAUCCGAAUAUAAUGGUUUUGAAUUACUGAUAGAAUCUUAGGUAUAUCAUCCUUUCCCCUUGUUUUUCGAGAGAAACUAUAAUUGUCAAAAUCAGGACCCGAAUGGUCGGAUCAUAUAAAAUUAAGAACCUCCAAGUCCUCGAUGGUAUAAUAUUUUUGAAUCUCUGCCUUCGAUCGUGAUCGCCAGAAUCACGUGAUGGCACUUCUUACAAACAACAAAACAUCAAAAAAUGAUUUUUCUUUAUACUUACUUGGCAAGGGUGGUACUGCUUGAUCAGCAGGUGGUUCUUGAGGGGACUUGAUCUGUUGAUUUUCUUCGGUCAUAGCAAAGCUCUGAACAGGAGGGGACAGCUGAUUUCCUUGUAUUUGAGAUUUUACACUUUGUUUGUUAGGAGGGUUGAAGGAUGGAUCAGAGGGGAGGGACUAGUGCGGAAGCAUUUAGCAUCAUUUUAAUCCUUCCUCACUUAUAAUUUUCAAUCCUUUUAAUUUGGGUUGAUUGACUCUUAUCCUUUCAUUCAUUUAGAAUUUAUGUGCUUGAUAUUAGCCUUUUACAGCACUUUAUUUUAGCCAUUUUAGUUCUAAGAGGCUAAUUUAAGAUAAAAUAAAGAAUUAAGCCUUUUGUUUUAUUUUUUCAACUUUUGAAAACAAAAUGUAAAAACCUAUUCGUUUUUGUUUAUACAAAAAAAACAAAAAAAAAAAAAAACAAUACAUUUUGAUUUGGUUUUAAAAGUUUUCAUAGUUGGAUUUAGUACCAUCAACUUAUGAUUUGGUAGCUAGAUUGGAUUCGAUACUUUCGUCAAUAUUUUAUAGAGAGCUAUGAAAUUAUUCACUUUCCAAUUGCAUUGUUAAUUCAUAUUCUUUACAGACAAAAUCAUUCACGGAUUGAAAAGUCAUCUGUAAUUUCGUUGGUAAAUUAAUUACCAACGGAAUGGUAGUGCAAAGACAAAUAAAAAAUUUCGUUGAUAAAUCUAAAAAUUAUGGUAGUAAUUUCAUGAAUAUAGACCAAAAUUUCUAGAAAAUGAACAAGGAGGUGUUCCACUGACGCUUCAUAUCAAAGCUCAAUAGUGCUAAAUUUGAAAAAUUGGAACAACUUUUUGAAAAGGUUUUGUGAGACUCGGACAAAAAAAUAUAGAAGUCCAGGCUUCUGUUAGGUAAAAACUCGUAGACCAAUAUCGUUUCAUCUCUCUUUAAAUGCAGCAUCCAAGAAGCCUCAGUAGAUUCUAGUGUUGAAGUUUCAAAACAUCUUUUACUUAAUUUUUUAACUCAUCAAGUCCUUGUCUUGAACUCAGAGAGCCUUUUGACAGCUAUUUCUUAUCCAUGAAUGUUACACUCAAAUAAUGACUCAGCAUCCUAAGAAAAUCCUGUGUUGUAUUUCUUGAAGAACUUUUUCUUAUCACUUAAUUUUUUUUUAAGAAAAAAGCAUGGCUUUUUUUAUAAUUUUUUUUUAUAAAGUUAUUCCAGUAUUAUAACCAAUGUUGUGAAUUUUACACUCGAAUUGACUUAAGUUAUUUUUCAUUGUUUUUUUUUUAUCUAUAUUUAUUUCAAUUUUAUAGUUCGGCAAUAAGUUGGUUAAGAACCAGUCUUUAAGUUUUUUUAUUUGUUUUCUAUGUGGUAAUCUUAAUUUCAUGACUUUAAUCACAGGCAUAUUUAUCUAGGUUUACAUGGAUUUUUUUUAUUAUAUUUUUAAAUUUAUUUUUUCUAGGGUUUAGGAGCUUUUUAGUUUUUUUAAUUUUUUAUUACAUUAGAAAUUAAAUAAAUACAUCUUUUUUAAAAAGAAAAAAAUUGAGUACAUGUUACUUAGCAUGUGUGAGCUAGAUGUUGAUAGCGCAGUAAUAUGUAUGAAUAUGUGAAUUCUCAUAUUUUAAAGUAAUUUUUUAUUUUUAUUAAUAUAAAUAUUUAAAUGAUUAUCUUGAUUAAUUUUAUAAAAUUUAAAAUUAAUAAUUAUAUAAAACUACAAUAAUCCUGAAAGAUUCACUCUUUAGAGCAACCUUAUAAGUGUUUGGAAGGGCAGUGAAGAAGCCGCGAAAUUUCGCGGAAGAGUUGCUGAGAUUGACUAGUUCUUCAUGUUGCCUUGAAAUUAAAUUAGGGAAUUGUGUUUACACAUCAACCUGAAAGUUUGACAAGUUAGAUUAUCUCAACCACUGAAUGCAAAGAUUAUCCUCCUGGUUUGACUAAUUGGCUCUAUCAUUAAGGCACAUUUAUUUUACGGAAAGUGAUUUGUUAAAAUCAUUUUAAAUUUUUUCUAUAUUUAUUUGUUAUUAAAAAAAUAUUAAUCAACGAAAACUAUUUUUUAAUAAAAAAAAUUAGCUUGAUUUACAUGAAAAUAUCUUUUUAUUUUGAGAAAAAAUCAUUUUCAGAAGUUAUAAAAAAUUUAAAAAUAUCAUGUUAUUUACUGAUUUUAUCAAAUUUGAUCCUUAAAUUUUUGAUUCUAUAUAUUUUGUUUUGAAUAUUUUUUUUAAUUUCAUCUAUUCAAAUUUAAUUUGAUUUGAUUUUUAUAUUUGUUUCUUAUUUUUAAUAUUGUUAUUUUCUUUUCUCUUAUCAUUUUUUUAAUUAAAAUUAUUUAUUUAUUAGAUUUGGUCUUUAUUUUUUAAUUGUUAUUUAAUUUAUUUGAAAUAAUUUAUGAAAUUAUAUAUAUUUUUUUAAUUUUAUCAUUUUUCAACUUUUUUUAUCUAUUAGAUCUCUAUUAUUUUAUUUACUAUUUAUUUUAUUUGAGAUAAGUUAUGAAAUUAGAUUUGUUUUUAAUUUAACUUUCGUUUAAUUUUUUCAUUUAUAAGAUUUGUCUUUAUUAUUUUAAUAAACUUGAAAAAAUAGUAAUAAUUUAUUUUUUAACUUAUUUUCCAUAAUAUGCCAAAUACUAGAAAAUAUUUUAUAAUUUAUUUUUCAUAAUACAAUUAAAUAUUAAAAAACAAUUUACUUUUCAAGAAUUUAUUUUUUAAAUAACUAUUUAAAAAAAUAUAUUUUUCAGCUACCAAACUGCCGACUCCUGAAUUACAUGGAUACUCCAAUAUAACUGACAAACAUGAACAAGAAACUGGUGGGUGGAGACAAACACAGUUGCAAUGUUAUUCAGGAACGUCUUGUUGGUGCGUGUCUUAGUUAGCUUAGCAAUAGCAGCCUCUCAAGAUCUCAACUUCACCUUCUCUGGCUUCCGAUCCACUAAUCUAAGCCUUGACGGCUUAGCUGAGUUAACCUCCAAUGGCCUUUUGAGGCUAACCAAUGAAACCUACAACCGAAUGGGUCACGCCUUCUAUCCAAACCCAGUAACCUUCAAGAACUCUAUAAAUAGCACUGCUUUCAACUUCUCCACUACCUUUGUUUUCGCUAUCGUACCGCAAUAUCCAACUCUUGGUGGCCAUGGUAUUGCCUUUGUCAUUGCACCCACAAGAGGUCUCCCAGGAGCCCUUCCAAACAAUUACCUUGGUCUAUUUAAUACGACCAACAAUGGGAAUCAGACCAACCAUGUUGUUGCUGUGGAGCUUGACACGAUAAACACCACCGAGUUCAAUGAUAUCAAUGAUAACCAUGUUGGGAUUGAUAUUAAUGGUUUAGAGUCUGAACGAUCUGCUUCAGCUGGAUAUUAUUCCAAACUUAAUGGUAAGCUCACAAACUUGACACUAAUUAGUGGCCAUCCAAUGCAAGUUUGGAUAGAAUAUGAUGGCAUGGAGAAGCAAAUGAAUGUCACUAUAGCUCCGAUUGAUGUUGAUAAACCCAGUAGACCACUUUUGACUCUGUCUCGUGAUUUGUCGCCAAUCUUAAACAGUAGUAUGUAUAUUGGAUUCUCAUCAUCCACCAGUGUUUCAUAUUUCGCGUACCAGUACGUGUUGGGUUGGAGCUUCAAGAUGAAUGGCCUAGCUGAAGCACUACAUAUCUCUCGCCUUCCUAAGCUUCCUCGAGUAGGACCAAAGAAGACAUCCAAAUUCUUAACCAUUGGACUGCCUGUGCUCUGUUUAAGUCUGGUUUUAGUAGCAGUCUCGGGUAUAUCUUAUGCCGUACGAAGGACAAGGAAGUUUGCAGAAGUGCUAGAAGAUUGGGAGCUCGACUAUGGGCCUCACCGAUUUAAAUUCAAAGAUCUUUAUACUGCCACCAAAGGAUUUAGAGACGAGGAGCUGUUGGGUAGUGGUGGAUUUGGUAGAGUCUACAAAGGUGUCUUGCCAACCUCUAAGAUUCAGAUUGCAGUGAAAAGGGUGUCUCAUGAAUCAAGGCAGGGGAUGAGGGAAUUUGUGGCGGAAAUUGUCAGCAUUGGUCGCCUUCGUCACCGGAAUUUAGUCUCUCUCUUGGGGUACUGCCGGCGUAAAGGAGAGCUACUUUUGGUAUAUGACUACAUGCCUAAUGGAAGUCUAGACAAAUACCUCUAUGACCAACCAGCAGUCGCCCUCAAUUGGAGCCAAAGAUUUAGAGUCAUCAAAGGCGUAGCUUCAGGGCUAUUAUAUCUACAUGAAGAAUGGGAGCAAGUUGUGAUUCAUAGAGAUGUCAAGGCUAGUAAUGUCUUGCUAGAUGGUGAAUUGAAUGGAAGAUUAGGGGAUUUUGGCCUUGCAAGAUUGUAUGACCAUGGAACAGAUCCUCAAACGACCCACGUUGUCGGAACUCUUGGGUAUCUCGCACCUGAGCAUGCACGAACUGGGAAGGCCACGACAAGCACUGAUGUGUUCGCUUUUGGGGCCUUCCUGCUUGAGGUUGCUUCUGGUAGAAGGCCAAUACAGCCAACUGAGGAUAUAAUCUUGGUUGAUUGGGUGUUUGGUCGAUGGCUUGGAGGUGAAAUUCUGGAGGCAAGGGAUCCCAAUUUGGGAACAGAAUAUGUUGCAGAGGAAAUGGAAUUGGUAUUGAAACUUGGUUUGAUGUGCUCUCAUUCUGAGCCUGCAGCAAGGCCAAGCAUGCGCCAAGUAGUGCAGUUCUUAGAGGGGAAUGUUCCUCUGCCUGACAUUUCACCACUUCGUCUUUCUGCAAGCGGCCAAAAAUUUUCAAAUCGUGAAGGUUUUGAUGAGUUUGCCAAUACUUAUCCUUCUUCUAUGGACAAUGCAUUUGCACAUUCGUCCUCGGUUGCAGAGUCCCUCCUUUCAGGUGGCCGUUAAUUCUUGCUUUUCUUCAAGGACCUUGUUGAAUUAAUGUCUCAGAAGCUGCUGAUGUGGAAGAUGGAAGUGUUUACAGUCAAAUAAAACUCAUGCUAGUUUGAAGUUUUAAAAGUUUGUACGGAUUUGCAAAUCUUCUUUUCUGUUAUGUAAUAAACAGCAGCAGAUAUUGCUGCUGUUUAUUUGCUUUUACUGUUUUAUGAAGUGUUUAAAUAAGACUUCUGAUAAUCAAUAUUCAGAAUAGCUUUGUUAUUUGUUAACGUUUACAAUUUAUUCUGUCAAAAACUAUCAGACGUUAUCAAGAACUCAUGUAAGAUCUAUUUGGUGAAUCAGAGGAGUUCCUGUAUGCAACACAUUACCUUAUGAGUGGGUUUUUUUUUUAAAAAAAAAAUAUUAUGUAGUAAACUGCCUUUAGGAGAUGUACAUGAAAGAUCACCUGCAAAACAAUGAUGCAAAUUAGAUAAAAUGCAUAACACGGCGUCUCUCCCUUUUGUUUAUGUUGAUGUAUCACAUAAGAAAGCAAACAUGGUAACAAAUCAUGAAGCUCGAGGUAAUGUUUAAAUGACAUGCAUAGUUAUAGUUGGAAGUAGUACAAGAAUUAAUCUGUUAAAUUUUUAAAAUAUAAUUUAUAUUAUUAUUUAAUAUACUUUUCUAAGUAAAAAAGUUUUGAACUUGAAAUUUACAUCAAAUCACUUUAUUUUAUAUUUAAUUUUAUCAUAUAAAUAAGAAUAGUAAGGUUUAAACUCAAAACUGUUAAGUUAUCAAAAUUCUGAAAACAUAUUAAAAAAUUAUUAAUUUGUCCUUAGAAGCAUGAGUCCAACUGCAAGCAAAGAAAAGAUGCUAGUGAGAUUCCUCAGCUUGCCUAUAAAACACGCAGGAGGUGUCCAAUAGGAUGAAACAUAAUUUGUCCUUUAUUUUAAGUUUUUCUACAACUGCAAGCCAUAUAAGGAAAUUGUAUUGUAGUAGAGACCAGGUUUCCCAUACUACACGAUCCCAGUUCACCUGAGUAGAAGGACUCCGGAGAUAUUCAUAAGCUUUAGCUGAGAAGCGAUGAACACCACUAGACCAACUUUUGAGUGGAGUUAUAGUUUCAUCUAUACUCCCACAACUCUCUACUAGUUGAUCUCUAUGACAGAUAAUGAAUUUUCAUAGUGGGGAGAAGGAUGUAUGGGCACACACGAUCCAUAUAGAGUAGGUAUGUAAAUAGUAGUGGUGAACUCAUUAAAUCCAAAUGAAAUCUGUCUUCAGAUGAAUAUUUUAGAGAUGCCUAGCAAGGAAGCUCUUGUUUCUAGCCUUUACAUCAAAUAAGCAAAGGCCCCCUUCUUUCUUUAAGAGGCAAACGUUGUUCCAAGCAACCAAAGUAGAUAUGCUUUUAGUAGUGUUACAUGUCCAUAAGAAAUUCCUACAGGUACAGAUGAUUUGGUUGAUGACAAUAACUAGAAGAGGGAAGACAUUUAUCCAUAAUUGAACCAUACCAAAUAGAAGAGACUUUAAAAGCUCCAAUCGACCAACAUAUGAGAGAUUUUUACCUAUCGAGUUCUAAACUGCCGACUCUAAUUUGAAUAAAAAAGGAGAAAACUGAAUUGUUAAUAGCCGUGAGGGCUAAGAGGAACACCCAGAUAUGUGAUGGGGAAGGAUCCUUCUUUAAAUCCAGAAUCAUGAAGAAGAGUCAACUUCAAGUCAAUUUUCUCCUCUUUGAUCCUUCUUUAGAACAACCUUAUUGCGUGGAAGGGUAGUGGAGAAUAUUUUUUAAAUUGUUUUUUAUUUAUAAAUAUAUUAAAAUAUUUUAAAAUUUUAUUUCUUACAUGAAUAUAUCAAAAAUAAUAUAAAAACAUUAAAAAAAAUAAUUUAAAUUUAAUUUAAAAAAUUUGUUUAACUGCAACUCAAACAAUGCCUAACCGUGAAAUUUCAUGAAAGAGUUGCUAAAUUGACUAGUUUUCAAUGUCGCCUUAAAAUUAUGGGUAUUGUGCUGUCACAUCAACCUAAAAGUUUGACGAGUUAGAUUAUCUCAACCAUGCAAAGAUUCUCCCCAUUGUUUGACUAAUUGGCUCUCUCAUUAAGAUACAUUUAUUUCAUAGAAAAUGAUUUUUUUAUUUUUUAAAAAAAUAUAUAAAGAAAUUAGAAAUAUUAAAUUAUUUACUGAUUUUAUUAAACAUGAGUUUUAAAUUUUUUAUUGUUAUAUAUUUUACUUAUAUUUUUUUUAAUUUCAUCAUUUAGAAUUUAACUUAAUUUGAUUUUUAUAUGAACUUUGUUUCUUAUUUUUAUAAUUGUUAUUUGUUUUCUCCUAUUAUUUUCUUAAUUAAAUUUUUUUAUUUAUCAAAUUUGAUCCUUAUUAUUUUGAUUGUUAUUUAUUUUAUUAAAAUCAUCUAUAAAAUUAUAAUUUUUUAAAAAACUUCAUCAUCUUUUAAGUUUUUGAUAUGUUAGAUUUGAUCCUUAUUAUUUUGAUUGUUAUUUAUUUUAUUUGAGAUAAUUUAUGCAGAUGAUCUAGUUGAUGACAAUAACUGGAAGAGGGAAGACAUUUAUCCAAAAUUGAACCAUACCAAAUAUAACCGACUUCAAAAGCUCCAAUCGACUAGCAUAUGAGAGAUAUUUACCUAUCGAGUUCUAAACUGCCGACUCUAAUUUGAAUAAAAAAGGAGAAAACUGACUUGUUAAUAGCCGUGAAGGCUAAGAGGAACACCCAGAUAUGUGAUGCGGAAGGAUCCUUCUUUAAAUCCAGAAUCAUGAAGAAGAGUCAGCUUCAAGUCAGUUUUUUCCUCUUUGAUUCUUCUUUAGAGCAGCCUUAUUGCGUGGAAGGGUAGUGGAGAAUAUUUUUUAAAUUAUUUUUUAUUUAUAAAUAUAUUAAAAUAUUUUUAAAAUUUUAUUUGUUAAAUGAAUAUAUCAAAAAUAAUAUAAAAACACUAAAAAAUAAUUUAAAUUUAAUUUAAAAAAUUUGUUUAACUGCAACUCAAACAAUGCCUAACAAUGAAAUUUCAUGAAAGAGUUGCUAAAUUGACUAGUUUUUCAUGUUGUCUUAAAAUUAUGGGUAUUAUGCUUUCACAUUAACUUGAAAGUUUGACGAGUUAGAUUAUCUCAACCAUGCAAAGAUUCUCCACAUUGUGUGACUAAUUGGCUCUCUCAUUAAGAUACAUUUAUUUUAUAGUAAUUGAUUUUUUAUUUUUUAAAAAAAUAUAUAAAAAAAUUAGAAAUGUUAAAUUAUUUACUGAUUUUAUUAAAUAUGAUUUUUAAAUUUUUGAUUGUUAUAUAUUUUAUUUUAUAGUAAUUGAUUUUUUAUUUUUUAAAAAAAUAUAUAAAAAAAUUAGAAAUGUUAAAUUAUUUACUGAUUUUAUUAAAUAUGAUUUUUAAAUUUUUGAUUGUUAUAUAUUUUAUUUUUAUUUUUUAAAUUCAUCAUUUAAAAUUUAACUUAAUUUAUUUUUAAAAAAUAUAUAUUUUUCAACAAACAAACAAAACAGUUAUCUCCAAAAUUACGUCGAUAAUCCAUUAUAACUGACAAACAUGAACAAGAAACUGGUGGGUGGAGACAAAUACAGUUGCAAUGUUAUUCAGGAUCGUCUUCUUGGUGCGUGUCUUCGUUAGCUUAGCAAUAGCAGCCUCUCAAGAUCUCAACUUCACCUUCUCUGGCUUCCGAUCCACUAAUCUAAGCCUUGACGGCUUAGCUGAGUUAACCUCCGAUGGCCUUUUGGGGCUAACCAAUGAAACCUACAACCGAAUGGGUCACGCCUUCUAUGCAAACCCAGUAACCUUCAAGAACUCUAUAAAUAGCACUGCUUUCACCUUCUCCACUACCUUUGUUUUCGCUAUCAUACCGCAAUAUCCAAAUAGUAUUGCCUUUGUCAUUGCACCCACAAGAGGUCUCCCAGGAGCCCUUCCAAACUAUUACCUUGGUCUAUUUAAUAAGACCAGCAAUGGGAAUCAGACCAACCAUGUUGUUGCUGUGGAGCUUGACACGAUAAACACCAGCGAGUUCAAUGAUAUCAUUGAUAACCAUGUUGGGAUUGAUAUUAAUGGUUUAGAGUCUGAACGAUCUGCUUCAGCUGGAUAUUAUUCCAAACUUAAUGGUAAGCUCACAAACUUGAAACUAAUUAGUGGCCAUCCAAUGCAAGUUUGGAUAGAAUAUGAUGGCAUGGAGAAGCAAAUGAAUGUCACUAUAGCUCCGAUUGAUGUUGAUAAACCCAGUAGACCACUUUUGACUCUGUCUCGUGAUUUUUCGCCAAUCUUAAACAGUAGUAUGUAUAUUGGAUUCUCGUCAUCCACCAGUGUUUCAUAUUUCGCUACCAGUACGUGUUGGGUUGGAGCUUCAAGAUGAAUGGCCUAGCUGAAGCGCUAAAUAUCUCUCGCCUUCCUAAGCUUCCUCGAGUAGGACCAAAGAAGACAUCCAAAUUCUUAACCAUUGGAUUGCCUGUGCUUUGUUUAAGUCUGGUUUUAGUAGCAGUCUCGAGUAUAUCUUAUGGCAUCCGUGAUGGACUGUUAAAGGAAUUAACAGCAGAGUCUGCUCCUUCUCUUCUUUGCUGUUCCCGCCCUUUUCUGUUAAUUCUGUUAUUCUGUUAGAAGUCAGUUACAGUUAGUUAAUAGUCGGUUAUUCCUUAAUUGUCAACAUGCACAACGCAUGCUUAGUAUAAGCCUUCGGUCAGUGGCUAUAUAAGCCAGAUGUGAAUAAUGAAUAAAGCUCGAAUGAGUGGAAUACAAUUCUGUCAAUUGAAGAACAAAUUGUUAAUUCAAGAACAGUGAGUGUUGCAACAAUUGGUAUCAGAGCUGCAUCAUAGGUGACCUGAGUGUGAGUGUGAGUGUGAAGAAUUAACAAAAGAAAUAAAUCCUACUUCUCCUCGUAGUCUAAAGAGAGUUAACAAAUCAUGGAGAACAGUAAUAGCAGCUUUGUGCAGGCAGCUAUUCCUAAAUUUGAUGGAUACUUUGACCAUUGGGCGAUGUUGAUGGAGAACUUCCUUCGUUCCAAAGAAUACUGGGAUCUCAUAGAGAAUGGAAUAUCAAUGGAGGUGCCACAGAGAACUGAGCCUGGAUCCACGUCCACAGUGGGAGCAGCAGAAGGACAACACAAACUGAUUGAAGGUCAGAAGCUGAAAGAUUUAAAGGUAAAGAAUUACCUGUUCCAAGCUAUAGAUCGAAAUAUCAUGGAAACCAUUCUAAAUAGAGACACUUCAAAAGGAAUCUGGGACUCCAUGAAACAGAAGUACCAAGGCUCCACCAAGGUGAAAAGAGCUCAGCUACAGGCACUUAGGAAGGAGUUUGAAAUCCUGCACAUGAAGGAGGGAGAAACUGUUAACAGUUUCUUUGGUCGCACACUCACUAUAGCCAAUAAAAUGAAGACUCAUGGUGACACGAUGAGUCAAACCACAAUCAACGAAAAAGUUCUGAGGUCUAUGAUCUCAAAAUUCGAUUAUGUGGUUUGCUCGAUCGAAGAGUCAAAUGAUUUAAAUACUUUGACCAUUGAUGAACUGCAAAGUAGUAUAUUAGUUCAUGAGCAAAGAAUGAAUGGUCAUCGAGGAGAAGAGCAGGCUCUCAAGAUUUCUUAUGAAGAAAAUACUGACAGAGGAAGAGGUAGAGGAGUGUUUAAAGGAAGAGGAAGAGGUAGAGGACGUGGCAGACUACCAUUUAACAAAGCUGCAAUCGAAUGCUUCAAAUGUCACAAAUUAGGACAUUUCCAAUAUGAAUGUCCUACUUGGGAGAAAGAAGUUAAUUAUGCAGAAACAGAUGAAGGAGAAGAAUUGUUAUUGAUGGCGUAUGAGGAGGCUAACCAUAAAGAAAGAAAAGAGAUCUGGUUUCUUGACUCAGGAUGUAGCAAUCACAUGAGUGGAAACAAAGAAUGGUUCUCAGAACUAGAUGAUCAAUUCAGGCACACAGUGAAGCUAGCGACAAUUCAAAGAUGGCAGUUAUGGGGAAGGGAAAUGCAAGAAUGAAAGUAAAUGGAAUCACUCAAGUGAUCUCAAAAGUUUACUACAUUCCUGAGUUGAAAAACAACCUGCUGAGCAUAGGGCAACUACAAAACAGAGGAGUAACCAUUCUGAUUCAGCAUGGGAAGUGUAAAGUUUUUCAUCCUACCAAGGGCUUGAUCAUUCAAUCUGAAAUGAGUACAAACAGGAUGUUUGUUGUACUCGCAACAAUGAUUCCUAACGCUAAUGCUUGUCUACAAGCUGUGAUAGAAGAUCAAAGUCACUUGUGGCAUUGCAGAUUUGGUCAUGUAAGCUUCAAAGGGUUGAGAGCCCUUCAAUCAAAAGGAAUGGUCAAAGGAUUGCCUGCUGGCUUGCCCUCACCAGCAGCCUGUGCACAAGUUUGCACAACUUGUUUAACUGGAAAACAACACAGAGGAUCUAUUCCUAAAAAGAGUCUAUGGAGAGCAUCACAGAAGCUGGAAUUGAUACAUGCAGAUAUAUGUGGCCCCAUCAAUCCAGCAUCAAACAACAACAAGAGGUAUUUUUUUAGCUUUAUAGAUGACUUCAGUCGAAAGAUGUCGAUUUACUUCUUGCACGAAAAAUCAGAAGCCUUCAUCAUGUUCAAAAGAUACAAGAUAUCUGUUGAGAAGGAAACAGGAGCCCACCUCAAAUGUUUAAGAACUGAUAGAGGUGGUGAGUUCAAUUCAACUGAGUUUAAGGAGUUUUGCAAGGAAAAUGGCAUCACUAGACAAUUAACCACGGCCUACACUCCUCAGCAGAAUGGAGUUGCCGAGAGAAAGAACAGAACUGUGAUGAAUCUAGUACGGUGCAUUCUUACAGAUAAACAAGUUCCAAAGGUUUUCUGGCCAGAAGUUGUGAGGUGGUGUGUGCAUGUGCUCAACAGGAGUCCUACUCAAGCCGUCCAACAUUCAACCCCAGAGGAAGCAUGGAGUGGCUUGAAGCCCACUGUAGAGUAUUUCAAGGUAUUUGGGUACUUGGCACACGUGCAUGUACCAGACCAGAAGAGAAUUAAACUGGAUAAUAAAAGCAUACAAUGCGUUUUGCUGGGAGUAAGUGAUGAAUCAAAGGCUUACAGAUUAUUUGACCCAACUUCUAAGAAAAUAAUUGUCAGCAGGGAUGUUAUUUUCGAAGAAAAUAAAGGCUGGAAUUGGAACAUGAGCAGUGAGGAAACAACCUCAGAUGCACUAGAAUGGGGUGAUCCUGAAGAAGAAACUGAUGAAGCUCAGAAUGCACAGAAGUUGACAACAGAGGAGAGUGAGAAUGAAGAAACAAGUUCAAAUGGGGAACUUGGGACAAACAGUAACAAUAAUGAAGAGAUCAACUUCAAGGGCAUGAAUGAGGCAGGUUCUAGUAAUAAUCAUGCACAGUCCAGUAUGCCACAUGAAGUAAACCCUUCUGCAACAGGGAGGUUAAGGCGAAUUCCACCCUGGAUGCAAGACUAUGAAACAGGAGAGAAUCUGUCAGAAGAAGAGGAUUUAAAUGCCAUGGCUAUUCUUACAGAAGAUGAUCCAUCCACAUUUGAGCAAGCCGUGAAAAGCAAGAAAUGGAGAGAUGCAAUGAACUAAGAAAUUGAGGCUAUUGAACGCAAUAACACAUGGACUCUGACUGUCCUACCCGAAGGAGUAAACAACAUUGGGGUUAAAUGGAUAUUCAAAACCAAACUCAAUGAGAGUGGUGAGAUAGAUAAAUGCAAGGCUAGACUUGUGGCAAAAGGAUAUGCACAACAAUAUGGAAUUGACUACACAGAGGUAUAUGCUCCAGUUGCAAGAUUAGAUAUCAUACGUGUGAUACUUGCUCUAGCAGCUCAAGAAGGAUGGAGUGUCUUUCAACUAGAUGUGAAGAGUGCAUUUCUGCAUGGUGAGCUCAGUGAGGAAGUAUUUGUAGAACAGCCCCAAGGAUAUGAGAAAGAGGGUGAGGAACACAAGGUUUAUAAACUCAACAAGGCACUAUAUGGCCUCAAACAAGCUCCACGAGCUUGGUAUAGCAGAAUUGAGGCUUACUUUAUCCAGGAAGGCUUCAAGAAAUGUUACUGUGAACACACCUUGUUCACUAAACUAGAAGGAGGAGGAAAGGUGUUAAUUGUCAGUCUGUAUGUUGACGAUUUAAUCUUCACUGGGAAUGACAGGAACAUGUGUUCAGAAUUCAAGAAGCUCAUGAUGCUGGAGUUUGACAUGUCAGAUUUGGGAAGAAUGAAGUUCUUCUUAAAUUGAUAUACAGAAUCCUGAAGGGAUUUAUAUAUGUCAAAGGAGGUAUGCUCGAGAAAUCCUAAAACGCUUUGGCAUGGAUAAAUGCAACUCAGUGAAGAAUCCUAUAGUCCCAGGCUGCAAACUGUCGAAGGAUGAGGAGGGAACCAAAGUUGAUACAAGCAUGUUCAAGCAGGUGGUUGGCAGCCUCAUGUACUUAACUGCAACCAGACCUGACUUAAUGUAUGGUGUAGGUCUUAUUAGCAGAUUCAUGUCAAGACCAACGGAGCAACACUAGUUAGCAGCAAAAAGACUACUCAGAUAUCUGAUGGGAACAGUGAACCUGGGCAUUUUCUACAGGAAAGGAGGAUGCAAGCAACUUAUAGCCUACUCAGACAGUGACUUUGCUGGAGAUAUUGAUGAUCGCAGGAGUACCACAGGAUGUGUGUUUUUAAUCAGCUCUGGAGCAGUAUCAUGGUUGUCUAAGAAACAGCCUGUUGUUAGUUUAUCAACAACCAAAGCUGAGUACAUUGCUGCUGCAUCAUGUGCAUGUCAGUGUGUCUGGCUGAGAAGAGUUCUGGAGCAGCUUGAAUGUGAACAAAAGGAAUACACUACAAUUCUGUGCGAUAACAGUUCCAGCAUAAAACUGUCCAAGAAUCCUGUUCUCCAUGGCAGAAACAAGCACAUUGAUAUAAGGUUUCAUUUCCUCCGUGAAAUGGUGAAACAGAAUGUGGUUAACUUGAGUUACUGCAAAACUCAAGAUCAGAUAGCUGACAUUAUGACAAAACCUCUCGGAUUAGAGGUGUUCCUAAAGCUUCGAAGAUUGCUGUGAUUGUGUGAGAUUCCACACAUAAACUGAAUAACAGUUUAAGGGAGGGAUUGAUGGACUGUUAAAGGAAUUAACAGCAGAGUCUGCUCCUUCUCUUCUUUGCUGUUCCCGCCCUUUUCUGUUAAUUCUGUUAUUCUGUUAGAAGUCAGUUACAGUUAGUUAAUAGUCGGUUAUUCCUUAACUGUCAACAUGCACAACGCAUGCUUAGUAUAAGCCUUCGGUCAGUGGCUAUAUAAGCCAGAUGUGAAUAAUGAAUAAAGCUCGAAUGAGUGGAAUACAAUUCUGUCAAUUGAAGAACAAAUUGUUAAUUCAAGAACAGUGAGUGUUGCAACAAUCCGAAGGACAAGGAAGUUUGCAGAAGUGCUAGAAGAUUGGGAGCUUGACUAUGGGCCUCACCGAUUUAAAUUCAAAGAUCUUUAUACUGCCACCAAAGGAUUUAGAGACGAGGAGCUAUUGGGUAGUGGUGGAUUUGGUAGAGUCUACAAAGGUGUCUUGCCAACCUCGAAGAUUCAGAUUGCGGUGAAAAGGGUGUCUCAUGAAUCAAGACAGGGGAUGAGGGAAUUGGUGGCGGAAAUUGUCAGCAUUGGUCUCCUUCGUCACCGGAAUUUAGUCCCUCUCUUGGGGUACUGCCGGCGUAAAGGAGAGGAUUGGGGGAUUUUGGCCUUGCAAGAUUGUAUGACCAUGGAACAGAUCCUCAAACGACCCACGUUGUUGGAACUCUUGGGUAUCUCGCACCUGAGCAUGCACGAACUGGGAAGGCCACGACAAGGACUGAUGUGUUCGCUUUUGGGGCCUUCCUGCUUGAGGUUGCUUCUGGUAGAAGGCCAAUACAGCCAACUGAGGAUAUAAUCUUGGUUGAUUGGGUGUUUGGUCGAUGGCUUGGAGGUGAAAUUCUGGAGGCAAGGGAUCCCAAUUUGGGAACAGAAUAUAUUGCAGAGGAAAUGGAAUUGGUAUUGAAACUUGGUUUGAUGUGCUCUCAUUCUGAGCCUGCAGCAAGGCCAAGCAUGCGCCAAGUACGUUCCUCUGCCUGACAUUUCACCACUUCGUCUUUCUGCAAGUGGCAAAAAAUUUGCACAUCGGGAAGGUUUUGAUGACUUUGCCAAUUCUUAUCCUUCUUCUAUGGACAAGGCAUCUGCACAUUCGUCCUCGGUUGCAGAGUCCCUCCUUUCAGGUGGCCGUUGAAUUAAUGUCUCAGAAGCUGCUGAUGUGGAAGAUGGAAGAGUUUACAGUCAAAUAAAACUCAUGUUGGUUUGAAGUUUUAAAAGUUUUUAAGGAUUUGCAUAAUCUUCUUUUCUGUUAUGUAACAAACAGCAGCAGAUAUUGCUGCUGUUUGUUUGCUUUUGCUGUUUUAAGAAGUGUUUAAAUAAGACUUCUGAUAAUCAAUAAGAUUAACUAAGUUUUCAGAAUAGCUUUGUUCUGUAAACAUUUACAAUUUAUUCUGUCAAAAACUAUCAGACCUUAUCAAGAACUCAUGUAACAUCCAUUUGGUGAAUCAGAGGAGUUUCUGCAUGCAAUACAUUACCUUAUGAGUGGGUUUUUUUUAUUAAAAAAAACUAUGUAGUAAACUGCCUUUAGGAGAUGUACAUGAAAGAUCACCUGCAAAACAAUGAUGCAAAUUAAAUAAAAUGCAUAACACGGUGUCUCUCCCUUUUGUUUACGUUGAUGUAUCACAUAAGAAAGCAAAUUAAAUAAAAUGUAGGUUUGGCUUGUUUACCUAAGUUUACACGAUUUGUUUUAUUUUUUUUGUUAUUUUUUAAAGUUAAUUUUUUAUAGGGUUUAUGGGUUUUUUAGUCUUUUAACUUUUUUAUUGUAUAAUGAAAUAGAAUAAAUAUAUUUGUUUCUGAAAAAAAAAAAAAAAAGCUAGUUACAUGUCACUUAGUAUGCAUGAGCUAGGUAUACGUCGCAUAUUUUAAGUAAAAAGAUGCAAUAAUGGGAUAAAAAUAUUACAUCUCAAAUAAAAAAUAUUCUAUUAGUAAAUAUAAAAAUCCUAGCACCUUGGGCUCGAGCUACUAAGCUCAAGCCUAAUAUACAGUUGGGGCUCAAGGGCUCAAGAAGCAUGAGCUCGGGCAUGAUAGUCUAAACCCAUACUAGCUCUAAGUGCAUGGGCCUAAACAAUAUGCUCAAGCCCAUUUUAUGAUGGACACACGCCUAUCCUACUGUGCAUGUUGUCAUGGCCAAACAUUUUCACAUCGUGAAGGUUUUGAUGAGUUUGCCAAUUCUUAUCCUUCUUUUAUGGAUAAGGCAUUUGCACAUUCGUCCUCGGUUACAGAGUCCCUCCUUUCAGGUGGCCGUUAAUUCUUGCUUUUCUUCAAGGAACUUAUCAAGAACUCAUGUAAGAUCUAUUUGGUGAAUCAGAGAAGUUCCUGUAUGCAGUAUAUACAUUACCUUAUGAGUGUGUUUUUUCUAUAUAAAAAAAAUAUUAUGUAGUAAACUGCCUUUAGGAGAUGUACAUGUAAGAUCACCUGCAAAACAAUGAUCCAAAUUAAAUAAAAUGCAUAACACGGUGUGUCUCCCUUUUGUUUAUGUUGAUGUAUCACAUAAGAAAGCAAACAUGGUAACAAAUCAUGAAGCAGGAGGUAAUGUUUAAAAGACAUGCAUAGUUAUAGUUGGAAGUAGUUCAGCAAGUUAUCUGAAUUAAUCUGCCAACUACCAAGACUCUGUCUGUUAAAGAACCGAUUCAAGUUGGUUCUUGGCCAUUGGCGACUAGUAUUUUAUUAUAUAAGCAACUUAAAAGAGCUAUAAUAGAGAGUUUUGAUCAAAGUAUUUAUAUGAUGAAAUAUUUAGUAAUAAAAUUUCAAAUCAAAGUUUGUGGUGUGACCAUAUUUGACAUAAUUUUAGGUUGCUUGUUCUUCUAUCUUUCUUGAUCUUGUGUUGCUUCCAUUUGCUAUUAAUGUGGAACUGGGCUUGGUGGGCACCAUUCAAUUGAAUUUCAGGUUCUCUUGAAAUUCCUACUUGGAAGUGGGAAUACAUUCUAUACAUACAGAAACUUCAGAGAUGAAAAAUCCCUCCUUGAUAACAAUAUCCCAUUCCACUCACUGACAAAAGUUUGCAAGAUUCCUCUCUUUCGUUAUCAUUUUCUUUCUGUUGAUCCAAGCAAGUUCAGUUCAAGAGACCCUGAGAUUUAAGAAACAAGACUUCCUUCUUAUAAUCAUUGAACAAUUAUGCCGACAUUUUUGGUUUGCGUUUGCCCAAUUCAAGACUUGUGUGGUUUGCGUUUGCCCAAUUCAAGACAACCCUAGUGAAUGAUAUGAAAAGAGAAGAAAAUGAUAUCACACAACAUUCACAGGCAAAUUUACGUGCUUACUACAAACACAUGGUAAACCACAUAGCCAAUCCAAGAUAGAUUUAUAGACCGGAUACAUUUUUUUUAUUAUUAUUUAUUCAUGUGGGUGUCCGGGCCAGCUUGAGCGCACCACAACUAAUCCCACGGCUCACUGAAUAUCCUGAAAACCCAGUGAGCAUGUAAAGCACUGCAAGGGUGACAGACAUACACGCUGAGGCUUAAACUCAGGAUAAAGAGAAGGAAACUCCUUACCACCACUAGGCUAGAAGCCUUGGUGUGACUCGGUACAUUCUUAAUUAACACAAAAGCAAGAUUAACCAAUUCUAGGAGCUCUCUCGAUUUUGCCGAAUGAGUCAACGUGUAAUCGUACUCUAUUCUGUCGAAAAUCCUUGGUCACAAAGCAAUCAGGUUGAACGACUUGAAUUUGAGCGCCUGGCUUCUCCUCCUUUAUCUUUCUUUCAGCUUCUUCCGCUGUUAAGCCAACUAGCUCAGGCCAUGUUGUUUUUGCAGCAGGAUUUGACCCCAGCCCGUACAUUCCUAAAACUUGUCCAAACCAAAGCAUUCAUAAAUGGAAAAUAUAGAUGUCAUAAUCGUGUGUAAGAAAAAAGAAGAAGAAAAGAAAGUUAAAACAUGCCAUAGUUGUUAGCAAACUAAAAAUAUUACUGCUAGGAAACUAAUGUUUGAGAUUAUCUGAAUAUAAUGGUUUUGAAUUACUGAUAGAAUCUUAGGUAUAUCAUCCUUUCCCCUUGUUUUUCGAGAGAAACUAUAAUUGUUAAAAUCAGGACACGAAUGGUCAGAUCAUAUAAAAUUAAGGACCUUCAAGUCCUCGAUAGAAUAAUAUUUUUUGAUCUCUGCCUUCGAUCGUGAUCGCCAGAAUCACGUGAUGGUACUUCUUACAAACAACAAAACAUCAAAAAAUGAUUUUUCUUUAUACUUACUUGGCAAGGGUGGCACAGCUUGAUCAGCAGGUGGUUCUUCAGGGGACUUGAUCUGUUGAUUUUCUUCGGUCAUAGCAAAGCUCUGAACAGGAGGGGACAGCUAAUUUCCUUGUAUUUGAGAUUUUAUACUUUGUUUGUUAGGAGGGUUGAAGGAUGGAUAAGAGGCUAAUUUAAGAUAAAAUAAAGAAUUAAUGCUUUUUGUUUUAUUUUUUCAGCUUUUGAAAACAAAAUGUAAAAACCUAUUCGUUUUGUUUUUACAAAAAUCACAAAAAAAGAAAAAAGUAACAAUACAUUUUGAUUUGGUUUUAAAAGUUUUCAUAGUUGAAUUUAGUACCAUCAACUUAUGAUUUGGUAGCUAGAUUGGAUUCGAUACUUUCCACAGUAUUUUAUAGAGAGCUAUGGAACUAUUUACUUUCCAAUUGUACUGUUAAUUACAAUUUUUUACAGAUAAAAUCAUUGGCGGAUUGAAAAGUCAUCGAUGUUAUUUUGUGGUUUUCUGAAAAAUUUAGCUUAAAUUAAAAAUUAACAGAUUGAAAAGUUGUCGGUGAUGUUUGGUGGUUUCUGAAUUUUUUUUAUUAAAUUCAAAAUUUGAAUUAAAUAUUACUGACGGAACCACCGACGAAAUGAUUAAAAAUAUUAAUAUUUAAUUAUCCGUCGGUAAAACACCACAAUAAAAAGCCUACAAUUCCUAAUUUCACAAGAGACCUGUCUCCUUUCUUCUUCUUCUUCCUCUACUUCUUCUUUUUCUUCUGUUCUCUUCUCAACUCCUUAUCUUCUCCUCCAUGCUCAUGUAUGUUUUCUUCUCCUUUUUUUUUUUCCUAGUUUUUUUUUAUUAGUAUACUCUACGAAUUUGUUUUUCUUUUCUUCUUAACUUCACUUACAACUACAUUAAGGUAAAAAAAAACUUCUUUUUUCAUGUUUUUUUCACUAUAUUUGUUUAUUUUUUUUAUUUUUUUUUAUUUUUUUUUCUUAAUAAUUGUAUGAAUGUUGUUGUAGGAAUUUAUUUUAUUCAAAUAAGAUCAAUUUUUUAGUUGAAUUUAUUUUUUCAUGUUAUUUAUUGUUGCAAAUUUGUUUGAAUUGAUUUUCUUCUCUCUUUUUUUUCGAAACAUUUUGAGUAUUAUAGAGUGUUGAUUAAUAUUACUUUAAUUAUUUUAUAGUUUUAUAAAAUAGAUUUUUUAAAAUAUUUUUAAAUAAUUACCGACAAAAUUACAUACGGUAUUUUUCUAAGGAAAUUACCGAUGGAAUGAAGCGGGUAUUUUUUUUUUUGCCUGCUUUUUCCAUCAAUAAAUCCAUUGGUAAUAAUAUUUUUUUUAUUACAAACGGACUUACCGACAGACAAUAAAUUACCAAUGAAUGAUUCAUCAACGGAGAAUUUUCAUCGGUAAUUUUGUUGGUAAAUUAAUUACCAACAGAAUAGUAGUGUAAAUACCGAUAAAAAAUUUCGUCGGUAAAUCUAAAGAUUAUGAUAGUGAUUCCAUGAAUAUUGACGAAAUUUUCUAGCGGUUUUGACAAUGAAUAAGGAGAUGUUCCACUGACACUUCAUAUCAAAGCUCAAUAGUGCUAAAUUUGAAAAAUUGGAACAACUUUUUGAAAAGGUUUUGUGAGACUCAGACAAAAAAAUAUAGAAGUCCAAGCUUUUGUUAGGUAAAAACUCGUAGACCAAUAUCGUUUCAUCUCUUUAAAUGCAGCAUCCAAGAAGCCUCACUAGAUUCUAGUGUUGAAGUUUCAAAACAUCUUUUACUUAAUUUUUUAACUCAUCAAGUCCUUGUCUUGAACUCUUAGAGAGCCUUUUGACAGCUAUUUCUUAUCCAUGAUGUUCCACGCAAAUAAUGACUCAGCAUCUAAGAAAAUCCUGUGUUGUAUUUCUUGAAGAAUUUUUUCUUAUCACUUAAUUUUUUUUAAGAAAAAAGCAUGGCUUUUUUUAUAAUUUGUUUUUUAUAGAGUUAUUCUAGUAUUAUAACCAAUGUUAUGAAUUUUGCAGAUUAACUCGAAUUGAAUUGAGUUAUUUUUCAUUGUUUUUUUUUUCAUUUGUGUUCUUUUCAAUUUUAUAGUUCGGCACUAGGUUGGUUAAGAACCAAUCUUUAAGCUUUUUUUUUAUUUGUUUUCUAUGUGGUAAUCUUAUUCUCAUGACUUUAAUAGUGGAUUUAGCUUGUUAAUCUAGGUUUGCGUGAUUUUUUUAAAUUAGUUUUUUAUAGGGUUUAGGGGCUUUAUAGUCUUUUAACUUUUUUAUUGCAUAAUAAAAUAAAAUAAAUAUAUUUUUUAAAAAACCAAAAAAAUGGGUACAUGUCACUUAGCAUAUUUUGAUUAAAAAGAUGCAAUAAUAGGAUGAUAGAACAUCUUUCUUCUAAAAGGGUUAUAAUGAAAUUAGAUCUUAAGUUAAAAAUAUUCUACUAGUGAACUUAAAAAUCCUAGCAACAACUACUUGAACACAUGCAAACCAUACAUUUACAUAGAUUACUGCCUCAAUAACAUACUACCUAUUGGAUUAAAAAAUGUAGACUAAAAAACCUCUUAGAAAAUAGGCCUAAAAACACCCAUUGGGCUCAGGCUACUAAGCUCGAGCCCAAUAUACAGUUGGGGCUCAAGGAGCAUGGCAGCCUGAGCCCAUACUAGGCAUAGGUGCAUGGAGCCAAACAACAUGCUCAAGCCCAUUUUAUAUCAAUCUAAUACGUAUUAUUUUGAGUAUAAUAUAACUCAAAAUAUCACAAUGAUAAAAUUACACUUUAGCCCCUCCAACAAGAUUUAUGAGCUAUAAAUACGUUAUGAAUCGUUCAAGUCUAAGGUUCGCAAUCUCUUCAUUCUUAACAUUUUUAGCAUAAAUAUUUUCAGAAUCUAUUUCUCUAAAAUAUCGUUAGACCUUUUCUCUCUACAAAGUUACCGAGUUUACCAUUAGCAAGUCCCCAUGUCCAUAAUAGGAGACCUUUUGCUCGUGCCAACAACCAAACUACCUGGUUUACCAGGCACCACUUGAUACUACCACAACUGUCGAUCACUUGAUUUACUAGACAUCAUCUACUACUAGCAUGGUUAUUAAUCAUUUGACUUACCGGGCACCACCUACUACCGGUUACCAACUUUUUAGGCUUUCUAUAUUAAGCUACCAAAUACAAUGACUACUUUGUUUUCUCUAGGUGCUUCGCCUUGUAGGCACCAUUUAGGAGUGACUUUCAAUAUAUUUUUCAUUAAAAUUUGAAAAUUGUUUUUGCUUCAAAUUAUUUUUUUAGUGUUUUUGGAUCGUUUUGAUGUGCUGGUGCCAAAAAUAAAUUAAAAAAUGAAAAAAAAAACAUUAUUUUGAUGCUUUUUUGAAGUAAAAUACACUUUAAAAAGCAAUCGCUACCAUAUUCUCAAACACCUCCAUAAUCUAAUUUUCUAACUCAACUUUUCUUUAAUUGAUUAAAAGAAAAAAUGUCAUGUGUUGUUAUGUUAUGCAAAAGGCGGGUUCCCUUUGUAGGUUUCACUGAUAUUUGUUUCUUUCUAAGAUGAAUUAUAGAUUAUUAUAAUUGAGUUUUCUAUUGUAUGUUCUUAGAGGGUGUUUCGAAGUGUGGUUGUGGUUGUGGUUGUGGUUGUUUUUCAAAGUAUUUUCACUUGAAAAUGCAUCAAAAUAAUAUUUUAUUAUUAUUUUAAAAAAAAUAUUUUGUAAUUUCAAAAUUUGCCCAACUCUUGUUUAUAAUGCAGUACCAUCAUGGGAUUAGCAUCUUAGUUUUUACGAUGAGUUGGAAUUGAUUUAUCUCUCUUGCAUUAGAUGUCAUAUUUUAGUCCACUUCUACAUUAGUAAAUAAAAUUUUGAUCUUUGUAUAGGAAUGUCUAUUAGAAACCAAGUCUUUCCUUCCUUUGUCAGGAGGCACAUGUGGAAGUUGCAUCCACGAAAAAUUUCAGUGGAUCUAUCAUAAAUUAAUUUAUUUGUUCUUAAUUCUAUGCUUUUUUUUACCAUUUUCUUUUAAGUGGAUGAUGCGAACCUCAUGGUCACGCAACCCACACGCAAAGACACCAAUUCCCGGAAAGCCAAGUAAAUUAGGUUUGAUAGGAGUGUGACACAAAGAUAACUUGUACCUACGCACCAGUACUAUUGGAAACGGAAACCCCCACCCAAUGAAUAUUGAUUCGCGAACGAGAAGUAUAAGGAUGAUGCCACGAAGACAGUUGUUCUUCGAUAAGUCGUUUUUCAGUUCUUUAGAGAACCAUGAAAGACAGAUUAUCUCACCAAUACACACACACACACACACAAAGUGCGGCAAACAAGAAGUUUUAUUAAUCUGAAUUGUCUACUUACAUGUCUGGUUAUGCCCUUAUUUAUAGCGACUGCAAUCUAAAAUAAACCCUAAUGGACCCCUUAUGUGGACUUAUAUGAUGCCCACUUACAAUUAAGGCCCAAAUAAUAUAAAUAAACCCUAAACUAAGAAGAAAAUAAUAAUAAAAUAAAUAAAUCCGAAUUUAAUAUCCUAAAUAUGAUAGGAUCAAAUUUGUAGCCCUUUAGAAGUCCUAUAUAAGCUAGGAGAAUCAAAUCUGAAGGUAGAAUUAGUUCUGAAAUCUUCUUUCCUUUUUGUAGCUAGGAUGAAUAAGGAAUCCUUGUAAGAAAAGGAUUCUGAAACAUUUAUAAAUCCUUGCCACACUUGAAAACUAUGUUGCAUCCCAUUAAAGAUCUUUGUAGAAUUAGGAGAUUCCCAAAAUAAGCUGCCGCAUCCUUUUAGAAAAAGAAUCCUAGCCAAAUAGGAAGUCCACAAGUCAAAAGGAAGUAAAUAACAAAAACUCGUACAGCCUCUGUUGACCCGUGUUUGGAUGCCUUGCCAAACUCUGAUUGACAUGAUAUUUUAACCCAAGGUACGAGAACAUGUCAGGAGCCUCCACGUAAAAUUUCAGCCCGAUCCAACGAUAGGAUUGAGAAUUAUGACUAUUUCCGUAAAACUGGAUAGUUGCGCAUUUUACGUCAAAAUCCGAAUUUGACCUUGCCUGAAUCGUAUCAAUGGAUCUAUCAUAAAUUUAUAAAAUUAGUCAAGAUCCUUUCCAAAAACAACUCUACCGAUUAUCAUAGCAUUUUUUUCGAGUUUUUAGGCUCCCAAAGCCCGGGGGGGGUGCCCGGGGUUGUGUGUAACUUAGACUUUAGAGCCAGUGUUUGGAUUCUUAUUUUUUUAUUAUUUGAAUGUUUUGAUCCGUUUAUAUAUAUUUUAAUUAAUUUUAUCAAUUUUAAAAUUAAUUAAAUACAAUAUAAAUCUUCAAUAAUUUUAAAAGGACUCGACUCUUAAAAAAAAACCUUAUUGUUUCGAAGAUAGUGAAAAUAUUUUUUAAAUUAUUUUUUUUAUAUAAAUAUAUUAAAAUAUUUUUUAUUUUUUAAAUUUCAUUUAUUACAUCAAUAUAUCAAAAGUAAUAUAAAAACAUUAAAAAUUUAAUUUAAUUUAAAAAAUCUAUUCAACUGCAACUGAAACAAUACCUAACCGCGAAAUUUCACGGAAGAGUUGCUGAAAGCCUGAAAUUGACUAGUUUUUCAUGUUGCCUUACAAUUUGGGUAUUGUGCAUUCACAUCAACCUGAAAGUUUGACAAGUUAGAUUAUCUCAACCACUGAAUGCAAAUAUUCUCCUCAUUGUUUGACUAAUUGGCUCUCUCAUUAAGAAACAUUUAUUUUACGGAAAGUGAUUCUUAAAAGUUACUUUUCAUUUUUUUUUUUAUCAUUAAAAUAAUUAGUUAAUAAAAAAUAUUUUUCAAUAAUAAAAAAUUAAAUUAAUUUACAUGAAAAUAUUUUAUUUAUUUUAAGUAGAAAAUACUUUUUAAAAGUUAUGAAAAUUUUAGAAAAUUCAAGUUAUUUACUGUUCUAUUAAAUUUAGUUCUCAAGCUUUUAUUUUGAGUAAAAAAUUGUUAUUUUUUUUAAUUUUAUCUCUUAAAACUUGAUUUAAUUUAAUUUUUAUAUCAACUUUAAUCCUUGUUAUUUUUAAUGAUAUUUUCAUUUCUCUUAUUAUUUUUUUAAUUUAAAUUUUGUAUCUAUCAGAUUUGGUUUUCAUUCUUUUGAUUGUUAUUUAUUUUAUUUAAAAUAAUUUAUGAAAUUGUAUUUUUUUUUUAAUUUCAUCAUCUUUUAACUUUUUUAUAUUUUAGAUUUGAUUUUUAUUAUUUUUAUUUAUUUUAAUUGAGAUAAUUUAUGAAAUUAGAUUUUUUUUAAAAAAAAUUAUUCUCAUUCAACUUUUUAAUUUGUAAGAUUUGUUUUCUUAUUAUUUUAAUAAACUUAAAAACAAUAUUAACAAUUUAUGUUUCAACUUAUUUUUCAUAACAUAACCAAACACUAAAAAGUAUUUUCUAAUUUAUUUUCCACAAUACUACUAGACAUACAAAAAUAAUUUAGGAAUACAUUUUCUAAAAAAAACACUUUUCAAAAAAUAAUUAUUUUGCCAGCACACAGACUAACUCAUGGAUUACGCGGAUACUCCAUUAUAACUGACACACAUGAACAAGAAACUGGUGGGUGGAGACAAACACAGUUGCAAUGUUAUUCAGGAUCGUCUUCUUGGUGCGUGUCUUGGUUAGCUUAGCAAUAGCAGCCUCUCAAGAUCUCAACUUCACCUUCUCUGGCUUCCGAUCCACUAAUCUAAGCCUUGACGGCAUAGCUGAGUUAACCUCCAAUGGCCUUUUGAGGCUAACCAAUGAAACCUACCACCGAAUGGGUCACGCCUUCUAUCCAAACCCAGUAACCUUCAAGAACUCUAUAAAUAGCACUGCUUUCACCUUCUCCACUACCUUUGUUUUCGCUAUCAUACCUGAAUAUGCAACUCUUGGUGGCCAUGGUAUUGCCUUUGUCAUUGCACCCACAAGAGGUCUCCCAGGAGCCCUUCCAAACCAGCACCUUGGUCUAUUUAAUAGGACCAACAAUGGGAAUCAGACCAACCAUGUUGUUGCUGUGGAGCUUGACACGAUAUACAACAACGAGUUCAAUGAUAUCAAUGAUAACCAUGUUGGGAUUGAUAUUAAUGGUUUAGAGUCUGAACGAUCUGCUUCAGCUGGAUAUUAUUCCAAACUUAAUGGUAAGCUCACAAACUUGACACUAAUUAGUGGCCAUCCAAUGCAAGUUUGGAUGGAAUAUGAUGGCAUGGAGAAGCAAAUGAAUGUCACUAUAGCUCCGAUUGAUGUUGAUAAACCCAGUAGACCACUUUUGACUCUGUCUCGUGAUUUGUCGCCAAUCUUAAACAGUAGUAUGUAUAUCGGAUUCUCAUCAUCCACCAGUAAUUCUUAUUUCGCGUCCCAGUACGUGUUGGGUUGGAGCUUCAAGAUGAAUGGCAUAGCUGAAGCACUAGAUAUCUCUCGCCUUCCUAAGCUUCCUCGAGUAGGACCAAAGAAGACAUCCAAAUUCUUAACCAUUGUACUGCCUGUGCUCUGUUUAAGUCUUGUUUUAGUAGCAGUCUCGAGUAUAUCUUAUGCCAUCCGAAGGAGAAGGAAGUUUGCAGAAGUGCUAGAAGAUUGGGAGCUCGACUAUGGGCCUCACCGAUUUAAAUUCAAAGAUCUUUAUACUGCCACCAAAGGAUUUAGAGACGAGGAGCUGUUGGGUAGUGGUGGAUUUGGUAGAGUCUACAAAGGUGUCUUGCCAACCUCGAAGAUUCAGAUUGCAGUGAAAAGGGUGUCUCAUGAAUCAAGACAGGGGAUGAGGGAAUUUGUGGCGGAAAUUGUCAGCAUUGGUCGCCUUCGUCACCGGAAUUUAGUCCCUCUCUUGGGGUACUGCCGGCGUAAAGGAGAGCUACUUUUGGUAUAUGACUACAUGCCUAAGGGAAGUCUAGACAAAUACCUCUAUGACCAACCAGCAGUCGCCCUCAAUUGGAGCCAAAGAUUUAGAGUCAUCAAAGGCGUAGCUUCAGGGUUAUUAUAUCUACAUGAAGAAUGGGAGCAAGUUGUGAUUCAUAGAGAUGUCAAGGCUAGUAAUGUCUUGCUAGAUGGUGAAUUGAAUGGAAGAUUAGGGGAUUUUGGCCUUGCAAGAUUGUAUGACCAUGGAACAGAUCCUCAAACGACCCACGUUGUCGGAACUCUUGGGUAUCUCGCACCUGAGCAUGCACGAACUGGAAAGGCCACGACAAGCACUGAUGUGUUCGCUUUUGGGGCCUUCCUGCUUGAGGUUGCUUCUGGUAGAAGGCCAAUACAGCCAACUGAGGAUAUAAUCUUGGUUGAUUGGGUGUUUAGUCGAUGGCUUGGAGGUGAAAUUCUGGAGGCAAGGGAUCCCAAUUUGGGAACAGAAUAUAUUGCAGAGGAAAUGGAAUUGGUAUUGAAACUUGGUUUGAUGUGCUCUCAUUCUGAGCCUGCAGCAAGGCCAAGCAUGCGCCAAGUAGUGCAGUUCUUAGAGGGGAAUGUUCCUCUGCCUGACAUUUCACCACUUUGUCUUUCUGCAAGUGGCCUAACAUUUUCACAUCGUGAAGGUUUUGAUGACUUUGCCAAUUCUUAUCCUUCUUCUAUGGACAAUGCAUUUGCACACUCGUCCUCGGUUACAGAGUCCCUCCUUUCAGGUGGCCGUUAAUUCUUGCUUUUCUUCGAGGACCCAUCAAGAACUCAUGUAAGAUCUAUUUGGUGAAUAAGAGGAGUUCUUGUAUGCAACAUAUACAUUACCUUAUGCGUGUGUUUUUUCUAUAUAAAAAAAACUAUGUAGUAAACUGCCUUUAAGAGAUGUACAUGAAAGAUCACCUGCAAAACAACGAUGCGAAUUAAAUAAAAUGCAUAACACGGUAUAUCUACCUUUUGUUCAUGUUAAUGUAUCACAUAAGAGAGCAAACAUGGUAACAAAUCAUGAAGCAGGAUGUAAUGUUUAAAAGACAUGCAUAGUUAUGGUUGGAAGUAGUACCAAACUCUGUCUAUCAAAGGACCAAUUCGAGUUGGUUCUUGGCCAUUGGCGACUAGUAAUGGUUUUACAAAGAAUCAGAGUGUUCAGGCCAACUUUAUUCAAGUUGGCUAAUUGUAUAGUGUCAACGAGGUCAGUGAAGCACAAGGGUAUCUCUUUUCAUGGUCUCUAAUAACAGCAAUAUAGGUGGAUAGAUGAUCAGAACUUGAAAACGAGUAAUUUUGCUCCAACGCAUGGACACUUAUGUAGGAGAUUUUUUUUCUUUCUAAUGUAUAAUUUUAUAUUAACAUGCAUAAAUUUUAAUUCAUCGUGAUCGCCAGAAUCACGUGAUGGUACUUCUUACAAACAACAAAACAUCAAAAAAUGAUUUUUCUUUAUACUUACUUGGCAAGGUGGUUCUUGAGGGGACUUGAUCGGGUGAUUUUCUUCGGUCAUAACAAAGCUCUGAACAGGAGGGGACUGUUGGUUUCCUUGUAUUUGAGAUUAAAAAAAAAAAAGAGUGCCGGUGAAAUGAAAGCAGCAUGCCGAUUUAUAGAUCACACAGCAAGGUUUCACUAUUUCAAUUUCUAGAUGCAAUUGAACACUCGGUUUUCCCGACAUAAAAUUUGAGCAGAACAAACAAGGCACUAUAUUCUCCUAUUUGGCGUCAAGUCCGUCCAAAACAUUUGUAAGCAAAAAUAUGACUAAAGGUAACUACAAGUAAAUCUCCCAACUAUAUAGGGUUAGUCUCAGUUAGUCCUCAAAGAUUAAAAUUGAUCUAUUUUGCCCUCAACUAUUAAGCAUUAUCCUUUCUUGCUUCCUAAUCAGCACGCCUUGAAAGCGAUCAACAAAAUUAGUAUAUUACGCAUGUCUUUUGUGGUUUCCUAUUUUGAUUUGAUUUUAAAAGUUUUCAUAGUUGGAUUUAGUACCUUCAACUUAUGAUUUGGUAGCUAGAUUGGAUUCGAUACGUAACGAAAUGGGCUAGUAUCAAGUCCUAGAUAGAUCCAAAAUGUAUUGUGUCGAGCCACCUACAGUUAAAGCCCGAACUUGGUCAGAGGCAUCUGGAAAAAGUCCUGAGCACUUAUGGUCAAGCCGAGAAAGAGUAUAGGAAGCCUGAGUAGUUAAAGUUGAUCGGAGUCCAAGGUGCCUAAAUGUAAGACGGGAAUCGAGUUCUGGACACCUAAUGAUCUACCAAGGAAAUCCGAUAAAUUGCUAGGACAAACAUAGGGAUAAACCUCACUAUUCACUGCUAGAAAAUCGAUAAGUAUAAAUAAAAAUACUAAGAAAAUAUUUUUGUUGGUAAAUUACCGACAAAAAUAUUCCCUACAUUGAAAAAAAAAAAUUUAAAAAAAAAUAAUGACGUGUCAUUUUUACCAGCAGAAUUACUGAUAGAAUUAACUCCGUCGGUAAAAUCGUUUGUAAACUGUGAACACUAUUCGUCAUAUCAAUUACAAAGGGAAUCAUCAAUGAAAGCUUCUGUCAGUAUUUUACAGAGAGCUCUGAAACUAUUCACUUUCCAAUUACACUUUUAAUUACUAUUCUUUACAGAAAAAUCAUCGACGGAUUGAAAAGUCAUCGAUGUUAUUUUGUGGUUUUCUGAAAAAUUUAGCUUAAAUUAAAAAUUUUAAUUAAAUAUUACAGACGAAAUCACCAACAUAUUGAAAAGUAGUUAGUGAUAUUUGGUGAUUUCUAAAUUGUUUUGAUUAAAUUCAAAAUUUAAAUUAAAUAUUACAGACAGAAUCAACGGAAUAAUUAAAAAUAUUAAUAUUUAGUUAUCCGUCGGUAAAACGUCACAAUAAAAAACCUAGAAUCCCUAAUUUCACAAGAGACCCGUUUAUUAUCUUCUUCCUCUUCUUCUUCUUCUUGUUUUUUUUUCUUCUCUCUUCUCUACUCAACUCCUCUUCUCCUCCAUGCUCAAGUAUGUCUUCUUCUCCUUUCUUUUUUUUUCUUCCCAAUUUUUUUUAAUUAGUAUUCUUUACAAAUUUGUUUUUCUUUUCUUCUUAACUUCACUUACAACUACAUUAAGGUAAAAAAAAACAUUUUCUUCUUUUUUUGUGUUUUUUUCACUAUAUUUGUUUUUUAUUUUAUUUUUAAUUGUUUUUGUUCUAAAUAAUUAUAUGAAUUUGUUGUAGGAUUUUUUUUUCAUAUGAGAUCAAUUUUUAGUUGAUUUAUUUAUAGGAUUUUAAAAAAAUUUCAUAUGAUUUUUUUAGUUGAAUUUAUUUUUUGAUGUUAUUUAUUUGUUGCAAAUUUUUUGAGUUGAUUUUCUUUUUCUUUUUUCCAAGAAUUUUGAGUAUUAUAGAGUGUUGAUUAAUAUUAAUUAAAUUAUUUUAUGAUUUUAUAAAAUAGAUUUUUUAAAAAUAUUUUUUAAUAAUUACCGACAGAAUUACAUACGGUAUUUUUCUGAGGGAAUUACCGACGAAAUGAAACGGGUAAUUUAAUUGUUUUAUUACCAAACGAAAUUUUGCGUGGUUGCGGGUGAACCUCACCCGCAACCACAAAACCAAACACCCACUUAUUUUAUGGACAGUGAUUUGUUAAAAUCAUUUUUAAAAUUUUUAUUUAUUUGUUAUUAAAAAAAUAUUAAUCAACAAAAACUAUUUUUUAAUAAAAAAAAAUUAGCUUGAUUUACAUAAAAGUAUUUUAUUAUUUUGAGAAAAAAAAAACUUUUCAAAAGUUAUGAAAAAUUUAGAAAUAUCAUGUUAUUUACUGAUUUUAUCAAAUUUGAUCCUCAAAUUUUUUAUUUUAUAUAUUUUGUUUUGAAUAUUAUUUUUUCAAAUUCAUCUCUUUAAAUUUAAUUUGAUUUGCUUUUUAUAUUUAUUUUUUAUUUUUAAGAUUGUUAUUUGAUUUUCUUUUAUUAUUUUUUUAAUUGAAAUUAAUUAUUUAUUAGAUUUGGUCUUUAUUUUUUUUAUUAUUUAAUUUAUUUGAAAUAAUUUAUGAAAUUGUAAUUUUUUUUUAUUUUUAUAAAUUUUCAACUUUUUUAUCUAUUAGAUCUUUAUUAUUUUAAUUAUUAUUUAUUUUAUUUGAGAUAAUUUAUGAAAUUAGAGUUUUUUUAAUUUUACUUUAAUUUAAUUUUUUCAUUUUUAAGAUUUGUCUUUAUUAUUUUAGUAAACUUGAAAAAAUAGUAAUAAUUUAUUUUUUAACUUUUUUUCCAUGGUCAAAUACUAGAAAAUAUUUUAUAAUUUAUUUUUCAUAAUACAAUUAAAUAUUAGAAAACAAUUUACUUUUCAAGAAUUUAUUUUUUAAAUAACUAUUUAAAAAAUAUAUAUUUUUCAGCUAACAAACUGCCGACUCCUGAAUUACGUGGAUACUCCAUUAUAAGUGACAAACAUGAACAAGAAACUGGUGGGUGGAGACAAACACAGUUGCAAUGUUAUUCAGGAACGUCUUUUUUGUGCGUGUCUUCGUUAGCUUAGCAAUAGCAGCCUCUCAAGAUCUCAACUUCACCUUCUCUGGCUUCCGAUCCACUAAUCUAAGCCUUGACGGCUUAGCUGAGUUAACCUCCAAUGGCCUUUUGAGGCUAACCAAUGAAACCAAGCAACGAACUGGUCACGCCUUCUAUCCAAACCCAGUAACCUUCAACAACUCUAUAAAUAGCACUGCUUUCACCUUCUCCACCGCCUUUGUUUUCGCUAUCAUACCUCAAUAUGAAAGUUUUGGUGGCCAUGGUAUUGCCUUUGUCAUUGCACCCACAAGAGGUCUCCCAGGAGCUCUUCCAAGCCAGCACCUUGGUCUAUUUGAUGAGAACAACAAUGGGAAUCAGACUAACCGUGUGGUUGCUGUGGAGCUUGACACGAUAUACAACAGCGAUUUCAAAGAUAUCAAUGAUAACCAUGUUGGGAUUGAUAUUAAUGGUUUAGUGUCUGAACGAUCUGCUCCAGCAGGAUAUUAUUCCCAACUUAAUGGUAAGCUCACAAACUUGACACUAGUUAGUGGCCAUCCAAUGCAAGUUUGGAUGGAAUAUGAUGGCAUGGAGAAGCAAAUGAAUGUCACUAUAGCUCCGAUUGAUGUUGAUAAACCCAGUACACCACUUUUGACUUUGUCUCGUGAUUUGUCGCCAAUCUUAAACAGUAGUAUGUAUAUCGGAUUUUCAUCAUCCACCGGUUCUGUUUUCUCGUCCCAGUAUGUGUUGGGUUGGAGCUUCAAGAUGAAUGGCCUAGCUGAAGCCCUAAAUAUCUCUCGCCUUCCUAAGCUUCCUCGCAUAGGACCAAAGAAGACAUCCAAAUUCUUAACCAUUGGACUGCCUGUGCUCUGUUUAAGUUUGGUUUUAGUAGCAGUCUCGAGUAUAACUUAUGCCAUACGAAGGACAAGGAAGUUUGCAGAAGUGCUAGAAGAUUGGGAGCUCGACUAUGGGCCUCACCGAUUUAAAUUCAAAGAUCUUUAUACUGCCACCAAAGGAUUUAGAGACGAGGAGCUGUUGGGUAGUGGUGGAUUUGGUAGAGUCUACAAAGGUGUCUUGCCAACCUCGAAGAUUCAGAUUGCAGUGAAAAGGGUGUCUCAUGAAUCAAGACAGGGGAUGAGGGAAUUUGUGGCGGAAAUUGUCAGCAUUGGUCGCCUUCGUCACCGGAAUUUAGUCUCUCUCUUGGGGUACUGCCGGCGUAAAGGAGAGCUACUUUUGGUAUAUGACUACAUGCCUAAUGGAAGUCUAGACAAACACCUCUAUGACCAACCACCAGUCGCCCUCAAUUGGAGCCAAAGAUUUAGAGUCAUCAAAGGCGUAGCUUCAGGGCUAUUAUAUCUACAUGAAGAAUGGGAGCAAGUUGUGAUUCAUAGAGAUGUCAAGGCUAGUAAUGUCUUGCUAGAUGAUGAAUUGAAUGGAAGAUUAGGGGAUUUUGGCCUUGCAAGAUUGUAUGACCAUGGAACAGAUCCUCAAACGACCCACGUUGUCGGAACUCUUGGGUAUCUCGCACCUGAGCAUGCACGAACUGGGAAGGCCACGACAAGCACUGAUGUGUUCGCUUUUGGGGUCUUCUUGCUUGAGGUUGCUUCUGGUAGAAGGCCAAUACAGCCAACUGAGGAUAUAAUCUUGGUUGAUUGGGUGUUUAUUCGAUGGCUUGGAGGUGAAAUUCUGGAGGCAAGGGAUCCCAAUUUGGGUACAGAAUAUAUUGCAGAGGAAAUGGAAUUGGUAUUGAAACUUGGUUUGAUGUGCUCUCAUUCUGAGCCUGCAGCAAGGGCAAGCAUGCGCCAAGUAGUGCAGUUCUUAGAGGGGAAUGUUCCUCUGCCUGACAUUUCACCACUUCGUCUUUCUUCAAGUGGCCUAACAUUUUCACAUCGUGAAGGUUUUGAUGACUUUGCCAAUUCUUAUCCUUGUUUUAUGGAUAAGGCAUGUGCACAUUUGUCCUCGGUUCCAGAGUCCCUCCUUUCAGGUGGCCGUUAAUUCUUGCGUUUCUUCAAGGACCUUGUUGAAUUAAUGUCUCAGAAGCUGCUGAUGUGGAAGAUGGAAGAGUUUAGAAUCAAAUAAAACUCAUGCUGGUUUGAAGUUUUAAGAGUUUGUACGGAUUUGCAUAAUCUUCUUUUAUGUUAUGUAACAAACAGCAGCAGAUAUUGCUGCUGUUUUUUUGCUUUUGCUGUUGUAAGAAGUGUUUAAAGAAGACUUCUGAUAAUCAAUAAAAUUAACGAAGUUUUCAGAAUAGCUUUGUUCUGUGUUAACAUUUACAAUUUAUUCUGUCAAAAACUAUCAGACCUUAUCAAGAACUCAUGUAAGAUCUAUUUGGUGAAUCAGAGGAGUUCCUGUAUGCAAUACAUUACCUUAUGAGUGGGUUUUUUUUUAAAAAAAAAAUAUUAUGUAGUAAACUGCCUUUAGGAGAUGUACAUGAAAGAUCACCUGCAAAACAAUGAUGCAAAUUAGAUAAAAUGCAUAACACGGCGUCUCUCCCUUUUGUUUAUGUUGAUGUAUCACAUAAGAAAGCAAACGUGGUAACAAAUCAUGAAGCUCGAGGUAAUGUUUAAAAGACAUGCAUAGUUAUAGUUGGAAGUAGUACAAGAAUUACUCUGUUAAAUUUUUAAAAUAUAAUUUAUAUUAUUAUUUAAUAUAAUUUUCUGAGUAAAAAAAAUUUUAGCUUUAAAUUUACACCAAUUUAUUUUAUUUUAUAUUUUAUUUUAUUAUAUAAAUAAAAAUAAUAAAAUUUAAACUCAAGACUAUUUUGUUAUCAAAAUUCUGAUAACAUAUUAAAAAAUUAUUAAUUUAUAUUAUUCUACUCCACUUUUUCCUUGAUAAACCGAUCCUCUAUCUUUUAGCAUCAUAAAUAGUCCAGUUAUGCAUCAAUUCUAACUAGCUACGUGUCAGGAUUGAAUAACACAUGACUCGCAUUGACUCGACACGUAGAUAGUAACGUUACGACUAGUCGGUUUAAACUGAAACAACCUUUUCAAUCAUCACUCACUCUUUCCCUAACCUGGAAGACAAGCAACUCAAUAAAACAGAGAAGACCACCAAAAUUACUUGAGUUGUUAUUGGUUUCCUGUUUUGUACCAGGAAAUUAGGACAAACUAAAUUGGUAGCACGCGUUACGUGUUACGCUAUCGGUCAAAACUAGUAUUUCUCAGCGUAAAAAUAGGUAUUCAGGCAAACCUAAUUAAGUCAUUUAAAAAAAAAAUUAAUAUCUGAAACUCAGGUUAUUAACUAACUCCAUAGGAUUCAAUAAAUUAUGAUCCUUUUUGUCAUACUGAUUAGUCCGCAUAACGCAGAUUCUCCUUUAACUUACUCGUUCUUUAUUUUCACAUUUCAAAAACAUUUAAAAAAUAAAUAAACUUUUUAUUUAUUUUCUCUUUUACUUUAAAUUAAUAUUUUUAGUUUAUUUUAAUGUUCUAAUAUCAAAAAUAAUUUUUUAAAAAUAAAAAAAUAUAUCAUUUUGAUGUAUUACCAAAUAAAAAGUAUUUUAAAAAGCAAUCUUAACCACACUUCCAAACAGAUUCGGUCCUUAUUCAUAAAUAUUUCUAAAAGCUAUCCGAUUAUAAUAUAUCUACAAUCUAAGUGAUUAAAAUUACAUUGAAAUGUAAUUUAAUUGGUCAAAUUUUAAAUUUAUUUCCUAAAAGUUAUAGUUUGAAUAUCAAAAACCUCAAAAUUACUAAAAACUUAUAUGAUCAUGAAUUUCAAGGUUUUAAAAUAUUAUUCGAUGUACGUUUAAGCUGAUCUGAAUAUCUAUAAAUACCAAAAACAAAGUUACUUGUAUCGCUUGAACUGAAAUCCACAUACCAAAGUAGAUCACGUUUCAAUUUAUUUUAUUAAAUAUUUACAUUAAAUUUCCGGUUCAUAUAUAUAUAUAUAUAUAUAUAUAUAUAUGCUAGAAAAUGCUUUGAAAAUUAAAGUGUGUAUUUGCCUUAAUAAAAACUUUUUCACCCGACUCACUCAACAGGCCAGUAGUUACUAGACGAGGCAGCAGUAAAUUAAUCCCAUGAUAAAUUUAUGUUAAUGUGUAUAAAUUUUAAUCCAAUUGUUAGAUCAACUGUAAAAUUUGCUAGAAGCUUCCAGAGACCUUGGUUUCUUUAGGGUUAAAUUUUGAAGCAAUUGAUUAGGAGAUAAAUAAUUUUAGGUUGCUUGUUCUUCUAUCUUUCUUGAUCUUGUGUUGCUUCCAUUUGCUCUUAAUGUGGAACUGGGCUCGGUGGGCACCAUUCAAUUGAAUUUCAGGUUCUCUUGAAAUUCCUACUUGGAAGUGGGAAUACAUUCUAUACAUACAGAAACUUCAGAGAUGAAAAAUCCCUCCUUGAUAACAAUAUCCCAUUCCACUCACUGACAAAAGUUUGCAAGAUUCCUCUCUUUCUUUAUCAUUUUCUUUCCGUUGAUCCAAGCAAGUUCAGUUCAAGAUUUGAAACAAGACUUCUUAUAAUCGUUGAACAAUUAUGCCGACAUUUUUGGACCCUAUAAAUUUUAUGACUUGUGUGUUUUGCGUUUGCCCAAUUAAAGACAACCCAUAGUGAAUGACAUGAAAAGAGAAGAAAAUGAUAGCAGACAACAUUCAUAAUGGGGAGAAGGAUGUAUGGGCACACAUGGGCCAUAUAGAUUAGUUAUGUAAAUAGUAAUGGUGAACCAUUAAAUUUAAAUGGAAUCUGUCUUCUCAGAUGAAUAUUUCGUACAUGCCUAGCAGAUGUGCUUUUAGUAGUAUUACCUGUCCAUAAAAAAUAUCUAAAGGUGCAGAGGAUCUAGUUGAUGAUAGUAGCUGGAAGAGGGAAGACAGUUAUCCAGAAUUGAACUAUACCGAAGAGAAUAGUUUUCAAAAGCUCCAAUCAACCAGCAUAUGAGAGAUUUUUACCUCCAGUUCUAAAUUAUCGACUCUAAUUUGAAUAAAAAAAAGAGAAAAAAUGACUUGUCAAUAGCCUAUGAGGACUAAGAGGAAAACCCAAAUAUGUUAAGGGAAAGGAUCCUUAUUUAAAUCAAGAAUCAUGAAGAAGAGCCAGCUUCAAGUCAAUUCUCUCCUCUUUCCUUCAUUAAAGCAAUCUUAUUGCGUGGAAGGGUAGUGGAGAAUGUUUUUUAUUUUUUUAUUUAUAAAUAUAUUAAAAUAAUUUUUAAAUUUUAUUUAUUACAUUAAUAUAUCAAAAAUAAUAUAAAAACACUAGAAAAAUCAUUUAAAUUUAAUUAAAAAAUAUGUUUAACCUAACCGUGAAAUUUCAUGAAAGAGUUGCUGAAAUUGACUAGUUUUUCAUAUUGCCUUAAAAUUAGGGGUCUUGUGCUUUCACAUCAACCUGAAAGUUUGACAAGUUAGAUUAUCUCAACCAUGCAAAUAUUCUCUGCAUUGUUUCAUUAAUUGGCUCUCUCAUUAAGAUACAUUUAUUUCACGGAAAAUGAUUUUUUAAUUGUUUUUUUUUUUAAUAUAGAAAAUAAAAAAUACUAUAUUAUUUACUGAUUUUAUUAAAUUUGAUUUUCAUAUAUUUUAUUUUGAUUUGUUUUUAAUUUUAUCAUUUAAAAUUUAAUUUAAUUUGAUUUUUAAAUGAACUUUGGAUUUUAUUUUUAGAAUUGUUAUUUGUUUUUCUCUUAUUAUUUUCUUUAUUAAAAAUUUGUUCUUAUCAAAUUUGAUCAUUACUUUUUUUUAUUAUUUAUUUAUUUAAAAUAAUUUAUGAAAUUAUAAUUUGUUGUUAAGUUCAUAAUCUUUCAACUUUUUUAUAUGUUAUAUUUGAUCUUUAUUAUUUUGAUUGUUAUUUAUUUUAUUUGAGAUAAUUUAUAAAAUUAGAUUUUUUUAAAAUUUUAUUGUCAUUCAACUUUUUAAUUUAUAAGAUUUGUUUCUAAUUAUUUUAAUUAAAAAAAUAUUAACAAUUUAUUUUUAAGUUUAUUUUCCAUAACCUAGUCUAAACACUUAAGAGUAUUUUUUAAUUUAGUUUUUAUAUAUUACUAAAUAUUAAAAAAAACAUUCACUUCUCAUAAAAUUAUUUUUUUAAAAAAAUAAUUUUUCAACAAACAACCAGACUAACUCCUGAAUUACGUGGAUACUCCAUUAUAACUGACAAACAUGAACAAGAAACUGGUGGGUGGAGACAAAUACAGUCGCAAUGUUAUUCAGGAUCGUCUUCUUGGUGCGUGUCUUCGUUAGCUUAGCAAUAGCAGCCUCUCAAGAUCUAAACUUCACCUUCUCUGGCUUCCGAUCCACUAAUCUAAGCCUUGACGGCUUAGCUGAGUUAACCUCCAAUGGCCUUUUGAGGCUAACGAAUAUAACCUACCACCGAACGAGUCACGCCUUCUAUCCAAACCCAGUAACCUUCAAGAACUCUAUAAAUAGCACAGCUUCCACCUUCUCCACUACCUUUGUUUUCGCUAUCAUACCUGAAUAUCCAACUCUUGGCGGCCAUGGUUUUGCCUUUGUCAUUGCACCCACAAGAGGUCUCCCAGGAGCUGUUCCAAACCAGUACCUUGGUCUAUUUAAUGAGACCAACAAUGGGAAACAGACCAACCAUGUUGUUGCUGUGGAGCUUGACACGAUAUACAACAUCGAGUUCGAUGAUAUCAAAGAUGACCAUGUUGGGAUUGAUAUUAAUGGUUUAAAGUCUGAACGAUCUGCUUCACCAGGAUAUUAUUCUCAACUUAAUGGUAAGCUCACAAACUUGACACUAAUUAGUGGCCAUCCAAUGCAAGUUUGGAUCGAAUAUGAUGGCAUGGAGAAGCAAAUGAAUGUCACUAUAGCUCCGAUUGAUGUUGAUAAACCCAGUAGACCACUUUUGACUCUGUCUCGUGAUUUGUCGCCAAUCUUAAACAAUAGUAUGUAUAUCGGAUUCUCAUCAUCCACCGGUUCUUUUUCUGCGUCCCAGUAUGUGUUGGGUUGGAGCUUCAAGAUGAAUGGCCUAGCUGAAGCGCUAAAUAUCUCUCGCCUUCCUAAACUUCCUCGCGUAGGACCAAAGAAGACAUCCAAAUUCUUAACCAUUGGACUGCCUGUGCUCUGUUUAAGUUUGGUUUUAGUAGCAGUCUCGGGUAUAUCUUAUGCCAUACGAAGGACAAGGAAGUUUGCAGAAGUGCUAGAAGAUUGGGAGCUUGACUAUGGGCCUCACCGAUUUAAAUUCAAAGAUCUUUAUACUGCCACCAAAGGAUUUAGAGACGAGGAGCUGUUGGGUAGUGGUGGAUUUGGUAGAGUCUACAAAGGUGUCUUGCCAACCUCGAAGAUUCAGAUUGCAGUGAAAAGGGUGUCUCAUGAAUCAAGCAGGGGAUGAGGGAAUUUGUGGCGGAAAUUGUCAGCAUUGGUCGCCUUCGUCACCGGAAUUUAGUCCCUCUCUUGGGGUACUGCCGGCGUAAAGGAGAGCUACUUUUGGUAUAUGACUACAUGCCUAAUGGAAGUCUAGACAAAUACCUCUAUGACCAACCAGCAGUCGCCCUCAAUUGGAGCCAAAGAUUUAGAGUCAUCAAAGGCGUAGCUUCAGGGCUAUUAUAUCUACAUGAAGAAUGGGAGCAAGUUGUGAUUCAUAGAGAUGUCAAGGCUAGUAAUGUCUUGCUAGAUGGUGAAUUGAAUGGAAGAUUGGGGGAUUUUGGCCUUGCAAGAUUGUAUGACCAUGGAACAGAUCCUCAAACGACCCACGUUGUCGGAACUCUUGGGUAUCUCGCACCUGAGCAUGCACGAACUGGAAGGCCACGACAAGCACUGAUGUGUUCGCUUUUGGGGCCUUCCUGCUUGAGGUUGCUUCUGGUAGAAGGCCAAUACAGCCAACUGAGGAUAUAAUCUUGGUUGAUUUGGUGUUUAGUCGAUGGCUUGGAGGUGAAAUUCUGGAGGCAAGGGAUCCCAAUUUGGGCACAGAAUAUAUUGCAGAGGAAAUGGAAUUGGUAUUGAAACUUGGUUUGAUGUGCUCUCAUUCUAAGCCUGCAGCAAGGCCAAGCAUGCGCCAAGUAGUGCAGUUCUUAGAGGGGAAUGUUCCUCUGCCUGACAUUUUACCACUUCGUCUUUCUGCAAGUGGCCAAAAAUUUGCACAUCGUGAAGGUUUUGAUGACUUUGCCUAUUAUUAUCCUUCUUCUAUGGACAAGGCAUCUGCACAUUCGUCCUUGGUUGCAGAGUCCCUCCUUUCAGGUGGCCGUUAAUUCUUACUUGUCUUCCAGGACCUGUUGAAUUAAUGUCUCAGAAGCUGCUGAUGUGGAAGAUGGAAAGUUUACAGUCAAAUAAAACUCAUGUUGGUUUGAAGUUUCAAAAGUUUGUAAGGAUUUGCAUAAUCUUCUUUUCUGUUAUGUAACAACACAGCAGAUAUUGCUGCUGUUUAUUUGCUUUUGCUGUUUUAAGAAGUGUUUAAAUAAGACUUCUGAUAAUCAAUAAGAUUAACGAAGUUUUCAGAAUAGCUUUGUUCUCUGUUAACAUUUACAAUUUAUUCUGUCAAAAACUAUCAGACCAUAUGAGUGGAUUUUUUUAUUAAAAAAAACUAUGUAGUAAACUGCCUUUAGGAGAUGUACAUGAAAGAUCACCUGCAAAACAAUGAUGCAAAUUCAAUAAAAUUCAAUUAAAUUAUUAAAUAAAAUUCUAAAAUAUAAUUAAUAUUAUUCUACCUCACUUAUUCAUUAAUAAACCGAUCCUCUAUUUUUGAGCAUUAUAAAUAGUCCAGUUCUGCAUCAAUUCUAACUAGCUACGUGUCAGAUUGAAUAACACAUGACUGGCAUAGACUCUAUACAUAGAUAGCAACGUUACGACUGGUUGUGUUAAACUGAAACAACCUUUUCAAUCCUCACUAUCACUCUUUCCCUAGCCUGGAAGACAAGCAACUCAAUAAAACAGAGAAGACCAUCAAAAUUACUUGUGUUGUUAUUGUUUUCCAGUUUUGUACCAGGAAAUUAGGACAAACUAAAUUGGCAGCACGCGUUACGUGUUAUGCUAUCGGUCAAAACAAGUAUUUUUCAAUUGUAACGGAGCUAGAAUAUUUUAAAUGAAGGUGCAAAUUAAUUAAUAAAUAUAUACUAUAUUAUAUAAAUAUACUUAAAAUUUAAUUUUAAAUAAAUAUACUAACUCAUAUAAAGCAAAACUAAUUUAAAAAUACUUUUAAAAUGAAAAAACUUACAUUAUAAUUAUUCUCUUUAAGUUUUCAUAAUAACAAAAUUCAGUUCAGUUAUACAAUAAUUGUAAAUAUUCCAUAUGAAAUUUAUAAUACAAUACACAUUAAUUCAUCAAAAUGCAUGGAUAUAGAUCAGCAUUGAUAGUUUAAAUUUAUCAUGAUAGAUUAUUUUUAAAAACAAAAAAAUAGUUUUAUUUUAAAAAAAAACUAAAAUUUAAUUUUGCAAAUAUUAAUCUUUACUCACUGACAACAAUUGAAAUGUUUGCUUGUUUAUCUUGUGAAAAAAAAAAUUUCAUAUCAUAAUUAAUUCAAUUAAAAUUAUAUUAUUUACUGAUUUUAUUAAAUUUGAUUUUUAAAUUUUUCAUUGUUAUGUAUUUUGUUUUGAUUUUUUUUAAUUUCAUCAUUGUUGCUACCCAAUUUUUGACCUAUGUUUUGAUAAAUUUUUUAAAAAAUCUAAAAAUAGAGAAAAACAAUGAAAAUAAAAAAAUAUAUAUGUUUUUUAAUAUAUUUGCAUCAUUUUUAGCAUUUUCAGCGUCGUCUAAAAAAGAAUUUAAAUUUUAAAGGGUAUUUCAAAUGCGUUCGACUUUUCACACAUCAUUUUUAAAAUCUUUGAUUUUCCUCAUCGAGUCGACGUUGAUAUUGCUUGUUUUCAAAAAAUACAAAAAAAUCAAAAAAAAUCAAAAUUUACAAAAACAGAAGAAAUUGAGGGACCAAUUUUGAAAACCUAGCAAUAUUUAUGCCUAUAAAUACUGGUUUCCUCAACACACUCAAAGGGGGGGUAAUUUUGAAAUAUCAGAAAAAUCACAAAAAACCCUAAUGCUAAACUUAUCUCUACCCAAAAAAAAAAGAACACAGCCCCCCCCCCACCCUUUGCUUUUUUUGACACCGGCCAAACAACCCCCCAAAACCCCCCGGAUUAUUUUUUUUUCUUCUUCCUUUCUCCCUCACCAGCAGCCACACUCUCAGCCCCUCACUCCACAGCUGCCGGUCACCAGACCUCUCUCCCCCUCAGCCGUUCCUUCUUCCCUUGGCUAACAACACCACCACAACUCCCUUUUUUUUUUCCUCUGAUUUUCUCCACCCGGCCGGCCAAACGACAGCAGCAACAAGAUCUGCCAUCGGCAGAAGAAGAAACCCACCGCUGGAAACAAAGAACAACGGGGAAACAGUAGCAGCGACGGCCCCAUCCUCGUGCAGCAGCGCCGUGUUCCUCCAGUAGCAGCAAUCGGGCAACGAACAGAGCCCAUCACAGCGGCGACCGAGCUCCUCCAGCACGCUCACAGACCCCGAUCGGUCCAUUCCUCCGCCUAAACAUCGACAGCAAUCCCCUCUCCAUUGUGGUUUCAGCCGCCGGACGGACGACAGUAGCAACGACCACAGCCGCGACCCCCUUUGCAUCGCCACCCGAUCUGGCACCCGAAGUAGAGGAGAAGAAGACGGAACCCCUAACGAACUGACCCGGGGAGAAGAUGAUCUGAAGAAGGAGAAGAAGGAGUAGAUCGGAGAAAAAAAAACAAAAAAAAAACAACUGUUUGUUGCGUUUCUUGGCUUUGCAGGUGACAUACCUCUCACCACCGACAGGGAAUGCUGAGAAGAAGACGAUCCAUACACCCCUGGUUUGCCCGGUUUUCCAGCGGCGGCGCGUGAACCCACGCGCCGCCAGUGGCGAUGGCGUGUGGGAAGACGCACCGCUACUGUUCAGGCAACUCCAAAAAAAAAUUUCCUGAAUUUUAGGGACUAUUCUGUAAUUUUUCAAUUAUUUGAUGUAAUUUUUGUUUAGUUGUUUUGAAUUGGUAAUUUGUAAUGUGAUGUACAAAAAGAACAAAAAAAAAGAAAAAGAAAAGAAAAGAAACAAAUAUAGUGAAAGUGUAUGUGUGUUGGUAUUUGUUUUAUCAUUUGUUUUAUUUUUUUAUGAAAAAAUUGCAAAGAUUAAGGAAGAAUUUAAUAUUUUGAUUGGAUCACGGUCAAGAAUUAUUAACUUAUACGUAAGUUGUAUUUCUAAUAUCCGAUGAAAAGAUAAAAUUUUAAAACUUCUUUAACACGUCAAAGUCAUGAAGCAGCUUACUUCAGGUAGGGUGCGUUAGGGGUGCUAAUACCUUCCCUAAUCACAACCAGUCCCUUACCCGUGAAUCUCUAACAAGACCAGUACAUCCAGUUUCCUACUAGCCUUUAAUAAAUUACUAGGUGGCGACUCCCAAUGAAUCAAUUCAAGCAAACGCAACAACGAGAAAAAAUUGCCAGCUCGAUGCCGCGCGGAUUUUUUUCGACGUGCGACAAUCAUUUAGAAUUUAAUUUCAUUUGAUUUUUAUAUAAACUUUGGUCUUUAUUUUUAUGAUUGUCGCACGUGUGCGGCGGCGCGACGAUCGUCCACCCUCAAGGAAAAAUCGGAAUAUUUAUUUCUUGAAAAUAGGGAGAGACAAGGAAUUCUUGUCUCUACAAGUGAAAAUAUGGACUGGGAGUCGCCACCUAGUAUUCGGGUUACUAGGAACCUUAACUGGUCUUUAGAGAUCGGGUACGGAGACUAGUUGCGUAAAGGGAAGGUAUUAGCACCCCAACUACGCCCUACCGAAGGUAGGCUGCAUUGUUUUAAUGUCUGAUAAAAUCUAAGGUCGUGUUUGUGGUUUUUUUUGUUCGGAAUACGCAUUACAUGUAAUGUCAUACCCCAGGUCUUAUUGUAAAAAAAAUGAAACAUCCGGAAUUUAAAUAUCUGGAAUAUGUAUUACGUAUAAUGUCAUAUCCCGGAUAUUAAAAAAAAAAAAAUUUAUUGUUUUUGAAAUUUUGGCCAAUGUUCUCUUGACUUUAAUAAACUGGUUAUUAAAGCCAAAAUGCAUGCUAAAAUAUUUUUUUUUUUUACAUAUGAAAAAUACGAUAUGAUUUUGUAGAUUUGAGACACUUGGUUGUAUGCACAAAAACAUUUUUUUCUCUUUUUUUCAAUUUUCAAUUUUUUUUUUAUUUUUGGAAGUUUUUGCCGAAAACCAGGUAUUUUAAUAUCAGAUUUUGUAUUUUUAACAACAUAAAAAAUACCACCAAAUAUUAAUCAAAAUGACAUAAAAAUUACACGGAAAAAUUAUAAAAUGCUGAAACAAAUAUUUUUGAUUUUUUUCUUUGAAAUGGGCCGGAUUAGGCCCAAAUAUAUGGGCUGGGCCGAACCUGGCCCAAAGCAUGGGCUGGUUACUGUGCACAUAGUAACCGGGUUACUGUGUGUACAGUACCAGAGAAUUAAUCUGCGGGUUACUGUGCACAUGCACAGUAAUCGUGAAUUAAUUAGCGAGUUACUGUGCACAAAAAACGACGGGAAAGGCUACCUGCGGUGGUGAUGUUGGACUCUCUUCUCUGCUUCUUCUUCUUCUGCUUUCUUCUCUCUGUCUCUCCCUUCUUUCUCUUCUCUCCUUUUUUUUUUUUUUUUUAGCAGCCCUCCCCUGUAUUUAUAGGAAAAAACAGGGGAGGCGUCAUGGUGGUGGCCGCCGCCCCUCCACUAUCGAUCCGUGGAUAAAAGGAGGAGGCAAGUGGGUGAUUGCGGGCGUCUUAUUGCGCCAAAUCCGGGUGAGAAAUUAGGUGAAAAGGGGAAGAAAAAAUCUUCUUCUUCCCCUGCCUCGCGCGUCCAGGGGAAGAAGAAGAGCUACAGUGCCGUCAAAACGGCACCGUUUUGGGCUUCUGUUUUUUUUUUUUUUUUUUUAGCAACAGUGAAUGAAACGGCGCCGUUUUGGUCAAAACGCGCCGUUUCAUUUAAAAGGAAAAGGCGCCAAAAGCAUCAGAUUCAAAUUUCGGCCCUCCAUUUGCGCGCGUUUUACAAUUUAGUCCUUGGUCUCGGAUUUCUUCAAUUCAGUCCCUAAUUGGCCAUUAAACCUCAAUAUUUAUGCAAUUAAGCCCCUGAUUUGACCAAAUUAACUUCCAAAAAUUAUAAUUUGACCCUAGAAAAUUAAUUUCUCCUAAUUAAAGCCCAAAUUAACUCCAAAAUCAAUUUUUCUUGCAAUUAAAAUCUUCAUAAAUGCAAUUAAACCUUUAAUAAAAUUUAAUUGAGUCCAUAAACUUCUGAUUUUGCAUUUUUCUUCCACAAAUUGAAUUUUCUUUAUCAUCGGGGCUCUCAUCAGUCAAUGAUAUACUGUCAAAAAUUAAUUUUUGAUUUUUGAACAUCCUCAAUCAAUUUUUGAGCAUUUUUAGGGCGCUCUAGCAUUUUUUCACUGUUAUAUUUUUUGAUAAUAUAUUUUUUGAAUUUUUUUGUAUUUUAUUUUUUUUUAUGUGGGGACCCAAAAAUGGGUUACAACAAUGAUAAUUAUUUGUUUUUCUUUUAUUAUUUUCUUUAUUAAAAUUUUUUAUCUAUCAAAUUUGGUCAUCACUUUUUUAUUAUUAUUUAUUUUAUGUAAAAUAAGUUACGAAAUUGUAAUUUGUUUUUAAGUUCUUCAUCUUUCAACUUUUUUAUAUGUUAUAUUUGAUCUCUAUUAUUUUGAUUGUUAUUUAUUUUAUUUGAAAUAAUUUAAAAAAUUAGAUUAUUUUUUUAAUUUUAUUGUCAUUUAACUUUUUAAUUUGUAAGAUUUGUUUCUAAUUAUUUUAAUAAAAAUAUAUUAACAAUUUAUUUUCCAGCUCAUUUUCAAUCAUAUAGUCCAAACACUGAAAAAUAUUUUUUAUUUUUUUAUUUAUUACUAAAUAUUAAAAAUAAACAUUCACUUCUAAUAAAUUUAAUUUAAAAAAAAAUUAUUUUUCAACAAACAAACAGCAUAACUCUCCUAAAUUACGUGGAUACUCCAUUAUAACUGACAAACAUGAACAAGAAACUGGUGGGUGGAGACAAAUACAGUUGCAAUGUUAUUCAGGAUCGUCUUCUUGGUCCGUGUCUUCGUUAGCUUAGCAAUAGCAGCCACUCAAGAUCUCAACUUCACCUUCUAUGGCUUCCGAUCUACUAAUCUAAGCCUUGACGGCUUAGCUGAGUUAACCUCCAAUGGCCUUUUGAGGCUAACCAAUGUAACCUACCACCGAACGAGUCACGCCUUCUAUCCAAACCCAGUAACCUUCAAGAACUCUAUAAAUAGCACUGCUUUCACCUUCUCCACUACCUUUGUUUUCGCUAUCAUACCUGAAUAUCCAACUCUUGGCGGCCAUGGUUUUGCCUUUGUCAUUGCACCCACAAGAGGUCUCCCAGGAGCUGUUGCAAACCAGUACCUUGGUCUAUUUAAUGAGACCAACAAUGGGAAACUGACCAACCAUAUUGUUGCUGUGGAGCUUGACACGAUAAACAACAGCGAGUUCAAUGAUGUCAAUGAUAACCAUGUUGGGAUUGAUAUUAAUGGUUUAGAGUCUGAACAAUCAGAUUCAGCUGGAUAUUACUCUCAACUUAAUGGUAAGCUCACAAACUUGACACUAAUUAGUGGCCAUCCAAUGCAAGUUUGGAUGGAAUAUGAUGGCAUGGAGAAGCAACUUAAUGUCACUAUAGCUCCGAUUGAUGUUGAUAAACCCAGUAGACCACUUUUGACUUUGUCUCGUGAUUUGUCGCCAAUCUUAAACAGUAGUAUGUAUAUCGGAUUCUCAUCAUCCACCGGUGCUUUUACCGCGUCCCAGUAUGUGUUGGGUUGGAGCUUCAAGAUGAAUGGCCUAGCUGAAGCACUACAUAUCUCUCGCCUUCCUAAACUUCCUCGCGUAGGACCAAAGAAGACAUCCAAAUUCUUAACCAUUGGACUGCCUGUGCUCUGUUUAAGUUUGGUUUUAGUAGCAGUCUCGGGUAUAUCUUAUGCCAUACGAAGGACAAGGAAGUUUGCAGAAGUGCUAGAAGAUUGGGAGCUUGACUAUGGGCCUCACCGAUUUAAAUUCAAAGAUCUUUAUACUGCCACCAAAGGAUUUAGAGACGAGGAGCUGUUGGGUAGUGGUGGAUUUGGUAGAGUCUACAAAGGUGUCUUGCCAACCUCGAAGAUUCAGAUUGCAGUGAAAAGGGUGUCUCAUGAAUCAAGACAGGGGAUGAGGGAAUUUGUGGCGGAAAUUGUCAGCAUUGGUCGCCUUCGUCACCGGAAUUUAGUCUCUCUCUUGGGGUACUGCCGGCGUAAAGGAGAGCUACUUUUGGUAUAUGACUACAUGCCUAAUGGAAGUCUAGACAAACACCUCUAUGACCAACCACCAGUCGCCCUCAAUUGGAGCCAAAGAUUUAGAGUCAUCAAAGGCGUAGCUUCAGGGCUAUUAUAUCUACAUGAAGAAUGGGAGCAAGUUGUGAUUCAUAGAGAUGUCAAGGCUAGUAAUGUCUUGCUAGAUGGUGAAUUGAAUGGAAGAUUAGGGGAUUUUGGCCUUGCAAGAUUGUAUGACCAUGGAACAGAUCCUCAAACGACCCACGUUGUCGGAACUCUUGGGUAUCUCGCACCUGAGCAUGCACGAACUGGGAAGGCCACGACAAGCACUGAUGUGUUCGCUUUUGGGGUCUUCUUGCUUGAGGUUGCUUCUGGUAGAAGGCCAUUACAGCCAACUGAGGAUAUAAUCUUGGUUGAGUGGGUGUUUGGUCGAUGGCUUGGAGGUGAAAUUCUGGAGGCAAGGGAUCCCAAUUUGGGCACAGAAUAUAUUGCAGAGGAAAUGGAAUUGGUAUUGAAACUUGGUUUGAUGUGCUCUCAUUCUAAGCCUGCAGCAAGGCCAAGCAUGCGCCAAGUAGUGCAGUUCUUAGAGGGGAAUGUUCCUCUGCCUGACAUUUCACCACUUCGUCUUUCUUCAAGUGGCCAAAAUUUUGCACAUUUUGAAGGUUUUGAUGAGUUUGCCAAUUCUUAUCCUUCUUCUACGGACAAGGCAUUUGCACAUUCGUCCUCGGCUACAGAGUCCCUCCUUUCAGGUGGCCGUUAAUUCUUGCUUUUCUUCAAGGAUUGUUACAUAAUCUUCUUUUCUGUUAUGUAACAAACAGCAGCAGAUAUUGCUGAUGUUUAUUUGCGUUUACUGUUUAUGAAGUGUUUAAAUAAGACUUCUGAUAAUCAAUAAGAUUAACGACGUUUUCAGAAUAGCUUUGUUCUCUGUUAACAUUUACAAUUUAUUCUGUCAAAAACUAUCAGACCUUAUCAAGAACUCAUGUAAGAUCUAUUUAGUUGGAAGUAUUCCAGCAACUUAUUGAAAUAAUUUAUUAAAUUUAUAAUAUUUUAAAAUAUAAUUUAUAUUAUUAUUUAAAAUAUUUUAUUAAAUAAAAAUUCUUUAAACUUGAAAUUUAUAUAAAUUAUAAAUUAGGAUAAUGAGAUUCAAAUUAUUUUAAUUUAAUAAUAUAAAUUAUUAAAUAAAAUUAUCUUCAAAACUCUACUUUAUUUUCAAAACUCUGAUAAUAUAUUAAAAAAUUAUCUUAAUUUAAUAAUUUAAAUUAUUAAAUAAAAUUUUAAAAUAUAAUUUAUAUUAUUGUAUACCUAAAACUUAUUCUUUAAUAAACCGAUUCUCUAUUUUUGAGCAUUAUAAAUAGUCUAGUUAUGCAUCAAUUCUAACUAGCUACGUGUCAGGAUUGAAUACCACAUGACCGGCAUUGACUCUAUACAUAGAUAGUAACGUUACGAUUAGUCGGGUUAAACUGAAACAACCUUUUCAAUCAUCACUAUCACUCUUUCCCUAACCUGGAAGACAUGCAACUCAAUAAAACAGAGAAGACCACCAAAAUUACUUGUGUUGUUAUUGUUUUCCUGUUUUGUACCAGCAAAUUAGGACAAACUAAAUUGGUAGCACGCGUUACGUGUUACGCUAAUAUAUAUAUAUAUCUGAAACUCAGGUUAUUAACUAACUCCAUAGUCCAUAGGAUUCAAUAAAUUAUGAUCCUUUUUGUCAUCCUGAUUAGUCCACAUAAAGCAGAUUCUUCUUUAACUUAGUCACUUAGUUGCUGUUUGUUUUUGUAUUUUAAAUUAAUAUUUUUUAGUAUUUUUAUUUUAUUUUAUUUUAACAUGCUGAUAUUAAAAAUAUUUUUUAAAAAAUAAAAAAUAUAUAUCAUUUUGAUAUAUUUCCGAAUGAAAAAUACUUUAAAAAGCAACCACAACCACACUCUCAAACAAACUAUAACCUUAUCCAUAAAUAUUUCUAAAAGCUAUCCGGUUAUAAUAUAUCCAUAAUCUGAGUGCGCUCACGCAAUUGGUUGCUGCAGUAAAAAAAAAAAACCCUCCAUGCAGCAGCAUUUACCCCAUUUCAUGAGGGACGUCGUGUCCACCUUUCUUUAUCCAUCCACGACGUCUAACCACCCCACCAUUCCUAAUAACUACCCUAAAUCGCUAAUCCUCUCUCUCCCUCUCUCUUACAUACACUCUGUCGCACCCCAAAAAAUCAUCCGGCGCGUGGCAUCGGCUGGCGAUUUAUCUCGUUUUUGCGUUUGCUUUGAAUUGGUUCGUUGGAGUCGCCACCUAGUAAUUUAUUGAGGGCUACUAGGAUACCUGAUGUACUGGUCUUGUCAGAGAUCGCGGGUAAGGGACUGGUUGUGGUUAGGGAAGAUAUUAGCACCCCUAACACACCCUACCUGAGGUAAGCUGCUUUGUGUUCUGAUGUGAUUGGAAAAUUUAAAAUAUUAAUUAAAUUCUAAGGCUUGAAUAAAUCAGUUAUUAAAUCCCCGAAUAUAUGUAAAAACUUGUUCUUAUAUUUUCAUGGAAAAUACAACUUGAUUUUAUUUGUCCUUGAAAUAUUUAACCAUAUUCAAGAAAAAUUUAAAAUAUUAAUUAAAUUCUAAGGCUUGAAUAAAUCAGUUAUUAAAUCCCCGAAUAUAUGUAAAAAAACUUGUUCUUACAUUUUCGUGGAAAAUAUAACUUGAUUUUAUUUGUCCUUGAGAUAUUUAACUAUAUUUAAAUUUAACAAAUAAUUAUUUUUGUGUUUUUUUUUAUUUUUUAUAAUUCAAUAACAUAAAUAAAAAAAAGCAAACACACACAAACAUUUUUUUUCUUUUUUUUUAUUAUCACUUUCUCUUUCUUUUCUUUUUUUUUCUUUUACAUCCCUAUUUACAAAGUACAAAUUUAAAAUAAAUAAACAAAAAUUACAUUAAAACUUUAAAAUUUACAAAAUGGUCCCUAAAAACUCCGGAAAUUACAGGAAAGGACUUCAGGGGCUGCAUGAACAGUGACGGUGCGUCUUCCCACGCGCCGCGCCACUGGCGGUGCGUGGAUUCACGCGCCGCAGCAGGGAAAGAAACUGGAUGCAGUGGAUCACGACCGGCUUCUCUUUAUGUCCUCCUAAACCAUCUGUGACCUGUGGAACGAGAAGAGAAACUCAACAACAGUCGAUUUUAGUUUUUUUUUUAUUUCCUUUUGUUUCACUUCUGUUUUAUGUCUUCUUUUUGCUUCGUUUCUUCUUUGUUGGUUGCAGAUCCGGCGAGGGCAGGCUUCGAUGGCCACUGCUGGGCAGUUCUGGCGGCGGGUCUGUGGGCGGUGGCUGCCGAUCUGUGGACGGCGCUGCUGCAUGGGGAACGGAUCUGUGGGGAGUAGCUUCUGCUGUUGGAGGACGCCAUUGAUGGUCUGGAGGAGGAGGAGAUGCAGGUUCGGUCGGCGAUGGACAGGAAGAAACUGAAACGGCCAGCAAGAGGGGAGACUCCUUCGGGUGCAGGGAAGAAGGCCGAGAGAGGGAAGAGACCGGUUCUGCUUGUUCUGCUUUGGCUGCAACCGAGAGAGAGAUGAGGGAAAAAUGGAGGCCGGUUCAGGAGAUGAGUGAAGGAGCUGGGUCCGUGGGGAUGGAAAUGGCUAACGGGAGGAGAGGAAGGGGCUGGUCUGUGUGUUGCUUUUUCUUUGCAAAAGGGAGGGAGCGCCGGUCAGCUUCAACCGGGAAAGAAGAAAAAAAAAAUGGAGGCUUGUCUCACAGCCGGCUCAAAAAAAUCAAAAACAAGGGGGCUGCCUUGGUUUUAUGAUGGUGGCUGCCCGGGAGAAAAAAUGAAAUCCACCGGGGGGGCGCCUGGUUUGGGUGAGCGGCUGCCUUGAAAAAAAGGGUUUAGGUUUAGGUUUUGUAGUUUUUUUGAUGUUGUCAAAAUUACCCCCCCCCUUUUGCAAGUGUUGGAAACCAGUAUUUAUAGGCAAAAAUAUUGCCAAGUUUUUCAACUUGGUCCCUCAACUUCUUUCUUUUUUGUAAAUUUUGAUUUUUCUUAUUUUUUUUGUAUUUUUUGAAAACGAGCAAUAUCAACGUCGACUCAACGAGGAAAAUCAAUGAUUUAAAAAAAAGACGCAUGAAAAGUUGAACGCAUUUGAAAAUCUUUUAAAAAUUUAAAUUUUUUUUUUUAGACGACGUUGAAAAUGCUAAAAUGACGAAAAUAUAUUUAAAACAUAUUUUUUUGGAUUUUCUUUGUUUUUUUCUAUUUUUGAAUUUUUUUGAAAAUAUAUCAAAAACAUGGAUCAAAAAAUGGAUAGAAACAGACUGCACAUACACAAAUUAAUGAUAAUAUACUGUAUGGUGCUGUAAUUUAUACACAUAAUAACUCUAGCUUGAAUGAUUUCCAUGUCAGACCAUUUCCCGUGUCCCCAUACAUAUCAAUAUUAAUUCGUUCCGGCUCUCUCUCUCUCUCUCUCUCUCUCUAUAUAUAUAUAUAUAUAUAUAUAUAUAUAUAUAUAUAUAUAUGAUAGAGAGUCUUGUGAAUCACUAGCUCAAUAAUAUGGAUAGCUUGCUUUGUGAUGAGGUCUGGCUUUCCAGUCCUGCAACUCCCGAUUACCACAUUAAUCAACCACGGUAUAGCCAUGGAGAGACCUACGCAGCUGCUUCCUCAUUCUACACAACCACAAAAGACUGCGAGAAGGCCGUCUCUAUAUACCUGGAGAAGGAGUUCACUUGCAUGCCUGAACCCGGUUACGUAGAACAUCUUCGGACCAAAAAUUUGUUGUUUGCUAGGCUCAGAGCCAUUCAGUGGCUCAUCAAGGUUUUGUUUCUCGACUUGUAUAUAUAUGUAGAAACAUAGUAAUCAACGAGAUUAUUGCUUUUACGUGCAAUUAGUCACAGUCACCCCUCUCAUUAUCCUAUGCAUAUGUAUGUGUUCAGUCUCGUCAAAGGCUCAGUCUCUCUUUCGAAACUGUUUUCAACGCUGCCAAUUACCUUGACCGAUUCAUGUCGAUGAAUCAAUGCCAUGUAAGGGCUCGAAGAUUAGCUCUUAAAUUUUCAUUUAUAUUUUUGUCUUAAACUGUGAGAUUUGAUUAGUUAUUGUCUUAAGAUAACUAAUUAAAUCUUAUGAUCCCGUUGAUGUCCAGGGAUGGAAAUGUUGGAUGGUUGAAUUGCUGUGCGUGGCAUGCUUAUCAGUUGCAUCCAAAUUUACUGAGACACGUACUCCUUGCUUGCAUGAUAUUCAGGUGGUUACUGUUACAUUAAUUACUGUUGGCCUUUCUUGAUUGUUAUACUUUAAUUACUAACCACUAGCUAUUAAUUUAUGCAUCGAUCUGUUCUUGCGAUUAAAUUAAGAUGGAAGACCUCGAUCAUUCAUUCCAACCAAUCACUAUCCAGCGGAUGGAAUUGGUGCUGUUACGGGCUCUAGGUUGGCGCCUUGGCUCUACCACUGCAUAUUCUUAUGUAGAGCUGCUGGUUAUGAAAAUUGAUUUUAAUUGCUAGAUGGUGAAUUGAAUGGAAGAUUAGGGGAUUUCGGCCUUGCAAGAUUGUAUGACCAUGGAACAGAUCCUCAAACGACCCACGUUGUCGGAACUCUUGGGUAUCUCGCACCUGAGCAUGCACGAACUGGAAAGGCCACGACAAGCACUGAUGUGUUCGCUUUUGGGGUCUUCUUGCUUGAGGUUGCUUCUGGUAGAAGGCCAAUACAGCCAACUGAGGAUAUAAUCUUGGUUGAUUGGGUGUUUAGUCGAUGGCUUGGAGGUGAAAUUCUGGAGGCAAGGGAUCCCAAUUUGGGCACAGAAUAUAUUGCAGAGGAAAUGGAAUUGGUAUUGAAACUUGGUUUGAUGUGCUCUCAUUCUAAGCCUGCAGCAAGGCCAAGCAUGCGCCAAGUAGUGCAGUUCUUAGAGGGGAAUGUUCCUCUGCCUUACAUUUCACCACUUCGUCUUUCUGCAAGUGGCAAAAAAUUUGCACAUCGUGAAGGUUUUGAUGACUUUGCCUAUUAUUAUCCUUCUUCUAUGGACAAGGCAUCUGCACAUUCGUCCUCGGUUGCAGAGUCCCUCCUUUCAGGUGGCCGUUAAUUCUUACUUGUCUUCCUGGACCUUGUUGAAUUAAUGUCUCAGAAGCUGCUGAUGUGGAAGAUGGAAGAGUUUACAGUCAAAUAAAACUCAUGUUGGUUUGUAGUUUCAAAAGUUUGUAAGGAUUUGCAUAAUCUUCUUUUCUGUUAUGUAACAAACAGCAGCAGAUAUUGCUGCUGUUUAUUUGCUUUUGCUGUUUUAAGAAGUGUUUAAAUAAGACUUCUGAUAAUCAAUAAGAUUAACGAAGUUUUCAGAAUAGCUUUGUUCUCUGUUAACAUUUACAAUUUAUUCUGUCAAAAACUAUCAGACCAUAUGAGUGGAUUUUUUUAUUAAAAAAAACUAUGUAGUAAACUGCCUUUAGGAGAUGUACAUGAAAGAUCAUCUGCAAAACAAUGAUGCAAAUUCAAUAAAAUGCAUAACACGGUGUCUCUCCCUUUUGUUUAUGUUGAUGUACCACAUAAGAAAGCAAACAUAGUAAUAAGUCAUGAAGCUGGAGGUAAUGUUAAAAAGACAUGCAUAGUUAUAGUUGGAAGUUGUCGAUACACGACGUCAGGCGACGGCUCCGCUCUUUUUGUUUAUUUUAACAAAAAAGAUUGUUUUAUUAUUGGGGGAAAUAGAUUUUAUUGGAGUCGUCAUCUAGUAAUAUGAGGGAACUAGAAAUCCCAAAUUAGACACUGGUCCCAGAGAUUCGAGUACUGGGUUAGUUAUGAUUAAGGGAAGGUAGACACCACCUUUAAAACAUCCUUUCAAAAGAAAGGUUACCCUUACUUGUGUAUUUUUAUAUUUGAUUCGAAUUGUAUUAUAUUUUGAGCUUAUUUGCAAUUUUUUUUAUUUGUAAAAUAGUUAACGUCGGUCCCUAAAAAUAGGAGACACGUUAAAAAUGACAUCAGUCCCUAAAAAUAGGAGACUUGUCUAAAAUCUCGACGUUUAUCCCUAAAAGAAGAUUUACGUCUGAAUUACCAAAAGAAAACAAAUAGACAUAAUCCAUAUUUGGUAUAAAUCCUUGACAUCGGUCCUUUUCUGUAAAAAGAGACGUGUCGACAAACAACGAUCGUAGGAAACGCGUUUAAAAAAAUGACAUCAGUUCCUAAAACUAGAAAACUCGUCUAAAAUAUUGACGUUUAACCCUAAAAAGGAGAAGUAUGUCUGAGUUACCAAAAACUAUGGACAUAAUCCAUAUUUGGUAUUUUAACUUUUUGACAUCGAUCAUUUUCUGUAAAAAGAGACGUGUCGACGAACAAUAUUCGUUUAUAAAAUAAAACUAUUUUGAUAUCGUUGAGAAAUGGGUACAAUCAUAUUCGAGAAUUGGGCUUUGGACCAACGAACGAUAACAUGGGUGUUGGACCCGCUUCGUUAUUCUUUUUAUACUUGUUUUUGUUUUUUUUUUAUUUUAUUGUUUUAUAACAUGCAUGAAAAUUUACAAAUAUUUACAUAAAAAAAUGUUAGGAAUCCAAAAAAAAAUUACCCGAGUACCCCUGUAUAGGUAAAAGACUGAAAUACCCUCGGAUUUCUCAGGAAUUUACGAAAAUGCCACUAGCGGCGCGUGUGGCUCACGUGCGGCUACUGUUGGCACUGGCGAAAUUUUCCGGCGAGCUUUCUGGGAAACGAACGGUCGAUUCUGGUAGAUCUGAGGUCGAGGAUUCUGAUGGUGGUGGUAUUGACGGUCGUUGAUGGCUGACGAGGGAGAAUCGUCGACUUGAAGCUUCGGUGGCCGGCGAGGAUCGCGACCUUUUUCCGGCCAGAUGAGGCGGUGAAAACGGUUAAAACCGCUGGGGGUUUGCUUUAAACCAGUGGAUCAACCUUUCUGUGGUGGUUCGGAGGCUUGAGAUGGCCGGAAAGUGGAGCUCGGAUGAGAGAGAGGGAGUCACCGGCGAGAAGAGAGAGAAGCUCUGAGUCACGCUAUGGUGUGAACGCGUGCACGGUAUACCUGUACUGCUAAACUCUAUACGCUGUUGGAUCUCGGAUGAAAUGAUCGAAUGGCUGUGAUUGGCUUGAUCUGCAAGUUGAUCGGACGGCCCGGAUUGUCUUGGUGCGGAUCCUGUGUAGCGUGGUGCACCGAAAGCUCGGUACACUAGAUGACGUGGCGAAACAGGAUCCAAUCUCAGAUUAUUUCAACGGCUGAGAUUUGUUAGGAUAUGUUUGGUAUUUUCCAAAUUGUUUUUUUUUAAAUCAAUAUCUUAACUCUCGGAGAAAAAGCAAAACAAAAAUGAAUAGUGGCCUUUAAAUCAAUUCUUUCACUUCUUUUCUGCCUCCUCCCUCGUUCCGGCGAUUGUCACUAGCUAUUUAUAGCCAGUGAGCAGGGACAUAAGCCUAAUUGUUGCCUAAUUGUAAGAAAAAAUUUGUCCCUGCCUUUGAUUUCUGCCUAAUUGUAAGAAAAAAAAAUAGUCCCUGCCUAACAUUGCCUAAUAUGACAAAAAUAUUUUUGUUUUAUUAUAUAUAAUAAUAAAUAUUUACAUAGAUAAAAUUAAAAACUCAAAUCAGUAUUAGAAAAAGCCCGACUCAACCGCUAAAAAUCAAUUUUAAUUACCGAAAAUUAUGUCGAAACAUUAAAAAUAAAAAAACUUUCAAUAGGUAUCAACCCGGUGAAUCGGGUUUUGACCAUAAAAUAACAGUUUUGACCCAAAAUGACCUGAAACUCAUUUUUUACCUUGGUCGACAUGGUUUGACCCGUAUUGACCCGGUGAACUCGGUUUUGAUGGAAAGAUGCGGUUGACUCGAAAAAAAAAUAUCUUUUUGAACUUUAAACUUUUUUUAUAUAUUUUUUUAUAUUUUUAUAAAUAAUAAUAGAAAUAAAAUAACAUUCAGAUGGGCAACUUUCCUUCAAAAGUUCCCUUUUGCUAUUCGACACAAGUCUGGUGCUUUGAAUCGGGUUGCCGAUGCGUUGAGCCGUCGUGCCAAUCCGCUGGUGACAUUGGCUCAUGAGAUAGUGGGGUUUGAGUGCCUAAAGGAUUUGUAUCACGAGGAUGUGGAUUUCAAAGAAUUAUGGACGAAAUGCAUUGAGCAACACCCCGUCAGCGAUUUUCAUGAGAGCGAAGGUUUUCUGUUUCGCGGAAAUCGUUUGUAUAUACCCCGGAUAUCGCUGCGAGAGAAAUUGAUCCGUGACCUUCAUGGGGGUGGAUUGAGUGGUCACUUGGGCAUGGACAAAACAGUGGCUAGCUUAGAGGAAUGAUAUUUCUGGCCGCAACUGAAGAGAGACGUCGACAAUUUUGUACGGAAGUGCUACAUCUGUCAGGUAUCUAAAGGUCAGUCGCAAAAUCCUGGUCUCUAUACACCUUUACCUAUUCCUAACGAAAUUUGGGAAGAUUUGUCUAUGGAUUUUGUGCUGGGGUUGCCUUGCACCCAGCGAGGGGUGGAUUCUGUUUUUGUGGUGGUUGACAGGUUUUCGAAGAUGGCUCACUUCAUCCCUUGCCGAAAGACCUCAGAUGCUUCACAUAUAGCCCGAUUAUUCUUCAGGGAAGUGGUCCGACUUCACGGAGUGCCGCAGUCAAUUACUUCUGAUCGCGAUACAAAAUUCCUUAGCCACUUUUGGGUGACUUUUAUGGAAGAUGUUUCAGACUUCGCUGAACCGAAGUACAACCGCGCACCCACAAACUGAUGGGCAGACAGAGGUGACAAACAGAACUUUGGGAAAUCUGGUUCGUAGCAUUUGUGGGGAUAAACCAAAACAGUGGGAUCAUGCAUUGCCACAGGCUGAGUUUGCUUACAAUAGUGUUGUUCAUAGCGCAACGGGGAAGACUCCUUUUGCUAUGAUAUAUGUGACACCACCAAGACACACAAUAGACUUAGUUCGUCUACCCAAGGGAGGCCCAGGAUUUAGUAUGGCCGCUGAGAACAUGGUGACACAAGGUCAGGCCGUGCAGGAGGAAGUGAGGCAGAGGUUGGAAGCAACCAAUGCAAAAUAUAAGGCUGCGGCGGAUAAGCAUCGACGUCGCCGAGUAUUUGAAGAGGGAGAUUCCUUGAUGGUUUUCUUGCGCAAAGAAAAGUUUCCCGUAGGCACUUACAACAAGCUGAAGCCCAAGAAAUAUGGUCUGUAUCAGGUUUUGAAGAAGAUCAACGAUAAUGCCUAUGUGAUUGAUCUUCCCGAAACCAUGGGCAUUUCCAAGACUUUCAACGUUGCAGAUUUGUUCCAGUAUUAUGCAGAGGAACACUUGUAUCCUGAUCCCGAUCCGGAACCUAACUCGAGGUCGAGUUCUUUUCAAGUGGAGGAGUCUGAUGUAGAACAAAUAGCGGAAGAAUACAUGCUCAAAAGGGAUCACCCGAAAUUCAAAGGCAACUGAAUUUCGGCAGCCGGGGCGUUGACGUCGGAAUGCCACGAAACUCACCGAGUCAAAGCGUUUCGCCAUUUGCGGAUGAAGUCAGCGGCUUUUCCCCUGAUGUCCACCUGUUUUUGGCCAAAUUCCAUCGUUUCGUCCCCGAAAUCGUCAUUUUUGCCAUUUUAGGAAAGUUUCGUUUUGGCCAUAACUUUUGAUUCCCGAGUCCGAAUUGACUUCCGUCAAUUCCUGUUUGCUCAGGAUUUAUAGGCCUUUCAUAUUCUGCAUUUAUCUCAAAUUUGCCAUUUUUGGUAAAUUUAAUGUUUUGUGUCGUUUCCUUAUCCGUCAUGGGUUAGGGUAGAAUUUUGCUUUAAAUAUCAUUGUAAAGCCUCUGGAGGCGGCAGCUAAUAAUUAUUGAAUAAAAACCUUUGAGUUUUCUGAGAGUUUCUCUCGUUUAUACAAUUUUACGGAAUAUUGACGUUGGUCGUAUUCCUUCACUGUUUACUGCUGCGUCACCAUGGUUUUGCCUUUGUCAUUGCACCCACAAGAGGUCUCCCAGGAGCUGUUGCAAACCAGUACCUUGGUCUAUUUAAUGAGACCAACAAUGGGAAACAGACC